RNAcentral lists this long non-coding RNA (70983 nucleotides) under Eucalyptus grandis. RNAcentral's name for it is "long non-coding RNA (EGRA_LNC003744)". Lineage: Eukaryota; Viridiplantae; Streptophyta; Magnoliopsida; Myrtales; Myrtaceae. The record is from RNAcentral.
UACAGCCUCACUCUCGCGGUCGAAAACACCGGUUCAUCAGUUACAACUCCUAGACUCUGGUAAUCUUGUUCUUCGUGACAGAGAAGGUAAUGUCCCACUCUGGCAAAGCUUCAACUGCCCGACCGACGUGCUCCUCCCUGGACAGAACCUCACCAGGAACACACCACUUGUUUCCUCUCAGAGCAACGGCAACUUCUCUUCUCUGCUAUACAAGUAUACUUCGACAACGACAACGUCCUUCGUCUCUCUUCAAUGGACCUUUGUACUCAAGCGUAUACUGGCCAGACCCGACCCAUGUGAGUUGGGAAGUUGGAAGAACAACCUACAACGAUAGUAGAGUUGCAGUGCUCGAUUCCUUGGGGAAUUUCACUUCAUCCGACGAUCUGAAGUUCCUGACGUUGGAUUUUGGCAAGAAAACACAACGUAUGUUAAAGGUGGAUCAUGAUGGUAAUGUAAGGGUCUAUAGUAGAGAAAAAGAUGAAAAGUGGGUUGUAACAUGGCAAGGCUUAUCUGAGUCAUGUGCUGUUCAUGGGAUUUGUGGACGGAAUAGCGCUUGCAGGUACAGCCCGAGGGAGGGAAGGAGUUGCUCUUGCCUUCCUGGAUAUGUGUGGAAUAAUGACACUGAUUGGACUCAGGGAUGUGCGCCCAAAUUCGAGAGCUUCUGCAACCAGGGUUCUGAUGCUCAUGUCGAUUUCCUGCGUUUGCCUCACCAUGAUUUCUGGGGAUAUGAUGAGGACUAUACUUCAAACACUACCCUGGAGUCGUGCAAGAAAAUGUGCGCAGAUCUUUGCAAUUGUAAAGGCUUUCAAUACAAAUUCAACGGGGAAGGGAGCUUCGACUGUUUCCCCAAGAUACUACUGUUAAAUGGAUAUAAUUCGUUCUCAUUUAGUGGGAGCAUCUAUUUGAAACUACCAAAAGCUAAUCUCUCUUCUUAUCAAAUACCCACCAAAGGAUUCGACCCACUGCCUUGUCCCCUAAAAGCUCAAGAAGUUGACCUACAGAGGACUUAUCUGACGAGCCACCAGAAUUCGACACUUGAGAUCUUGCUCAUUUUUGCUACGGCGCUGGCUGGAGUGGAAAUUGUUGUAGUCUUCCUCACAUGGUCCUUUUUGAUCGGGACUGAUCCUGACAAACGCGGAGGUUAUGCAAAGGGAUAUCGUCUUGCGGGGACAGGAUUUACAAGGUUCACAUAUGCCGAGCUAAAGAAAGCGACCAGGAACUUUAACAAAGAGAUUGGAAGAGGAAGUGGGGGGAUUGUGUACAAGGGUGUCCUGCCAGAUCAUGGGGAAGCAGCGGUCAAGCUGCUAAACGAGGCGAAUCAAGGAGAAGAAGAGUUCCUGGCUGAAGUGAGAACAAUUGGGAAUCUCAAUCACAUGAACCUGAUUGCGAUGUGGGGUUACUGUGUGGAGGGAAGGCACAGGCUCUUGGUUUAUGAGUUCAUGAAUCACGGUUCCUUGGCAGAAAACCUUUCUUCCGAUCAACUCGACUGGAAGAAGAGGUAUGAGAUCGCGGUGGGAUCAGCCAAGGGGCUUGCUUAUCUUCACGAGGAGUGCUUGGAAUGGGUUCUCCAUUGCGACGUGAAGCCACAUAACAUACUCCUCGAUUCCGAUUACCAACCAAAGGUGGCUGAUUUUGGGCUGUCUAAGCUACUUAACAGAGAGGGCCUUAAGAAUACAAGUUUCUCAAGAAUCAGAGGAACGAGGGGUUACAUGGCUCCUGAAUGGGUUUACAAUAUGCCAAUCACCUCCAAAGUGGAUGUGUACAGCUAUGGAAUCGUUCUAUUGGAGAUGCUGACAGGAGGGAACCCAGUCGCAGGCCAUGCCAUCCGCGGAGAAAUAAAAGGCGACAACAAAACAUUCACUUCCUGGGUGAGAGAGAAGAUGAAACCAGGGUUGCCCAUGGAGACAUGGAUAAGGGAAAUUGUGGAUCCGACCGUAAAGGGACCUUACGACAUCAAGAAGAUGGAAGUUUUGGUUGCGGUGGCGCUUCAGUGUGUGGAGGAGGACCGAGAUGCGAGACCGACCAUGAGCCAGGUGGUUGAGAUGCUUUUGCGCCAUGAAAGUGAGGAUCUGUAAUCGAAUACAAGCAUAAUUGCUCAUGUUCUAGCUCUAAAUAAGUGGACAAUUACAAAGGCAAUAGUCUUUGGAUGUACAAACCUAGGAAAGAUAAUUUAGUAAGUGUUUAGGAACAAGUCAUUGUCUAUCUCUAUUUUAUCAUAUUGGAAAUCUAGAAAACAUUAUUUAACAGGAUAGUUCCCUAUAAAAAAGAUCAUUCAACAACGAGGAUGCAAUAGCUCUCUUGUUACUAUUUGUCUUUGGUGCGUCUGAUCCAGUCUUGUGAAUACACGGUUGAUUUGGCAUGGUUUAGAUCGGUAAAUAUAAAGGUACCAUAAGCGCACAAAAUAGUACGCUUCUUCUUAAUAACAAAUUAUUGACUAGAUAAAAUAGAUACAAUUUGUAAUAUUUUUUUUUUUGGUCGGAAUUUGUAAUUUUUGUUGACCCUCGAAUUUUUGUCAACGUUUAAAAUAUUAAUUUAUUUUGCAAAAAUAUAAAAAAAUAUAUAAAAAAGGUAAAAAGCAAAUAUAUAUAUAUAUAUAUAUAUAUAAUCGAAAAAAAAAAUGAAUGUAAUAAAAUGAAAAGUCGGGUCCAGUAGGCCCGCAUGUUCAACCCAUCCUUUCAAUGAAUUUUCGGCCCUUUCAAAAGUAAAGCCCAUCUUCCCAUUCAUUUCUUCCUUUCGGCCCACUUUUUCCCUCUAUCCGUUGAGCCCAUCUCUUUUAAUGUUUUCAUGGUCCAUUACAGUUUAAAAUAACAAAGAGAGACAAGAGCCCAGCCCAAUGUGAUUUCUUCCUCUUUGCUUACAUGAGCCAACGCCGUGAAGAGGAAAAGAAAAAGAGGCGCGGAUGAGGAGGGGACGGCAACGAGCAAAGCGCGAACGCGGGCCCGUGAGCGAGGGAGGAACAACAAGCUGUGAUGCAAGCAAAGCCAAGCCUUUUAGAAGGCUGAGCUGGCGUGAGGGAUGAGGAGAGGCCUAACCGAAAAAGAUUCGGAGAGAGGUGCGGGGAGCAUGCGUGAGGGACAUCCUGUUUUUUCUUCAUGCCGUUUGGGAAUUAAGAACAGAAAUUUCAAUCUAUAAGAUUAUGGUCUAAUCUUGUGAAGCCAGAGAUAUAUUUGUGAGGGACGAUAUAAUUUGGACUCUUAUAUAUCAUUUUUAGACAGAAAAUCAUAUCAAAGUCGGAUCGGAGGCUUGUUCUUGUACAGCACGUCACCUAUUUGAUAAAAUGCCCGAAUGAUAUACUGAAAUCCAUGCUAUCCGAUCGGCGUUAGAAGUUUAGUUUGAUGUUUCAUUGUUCUUAUAUUGUUGAAGGACGUCUCACUUUCGUGUUUUUUUAUGUGACGUGGAAACUAAUCUGUCGUGUCAUCGAGUCGGCCAUGGAUGAAUACCUCGCUGGAGAUGCUGUUCCUUCAGCAUAUCUCUCUAUUUUAAUGUGCUUGUGUUUGUUUGUUUGCCGAGAAUGCUGGUGUAAGAGGUUUAUGUAUGGUGAGAUGUUUAUUUUUUAUGUUUUAAUGGUCGCCGGAAUGGCCGAUCGGAAGUGAUGAACGCCGGUCGGUCGUGUUGGCCGGCGAUGAUUAGGACGGGGACCGGCGGCCAGAUGGCGGUGGUGUCGAGUGUUUCCCGGCGGCGGAGACGUAGGGGGAGUUCGGCCCCAUUAAAGGAGGAGCCAGUAAGUAAGUUGAAGACGAUGCCGGAUCGAAGAAGAUGGGCAGAAAAAGACAAAAUAGGGAAAAAAAAAAAAAAAAAGGAGAAAAGGAAAGCAGGAAAAAAGGGACCGUAGAAAAAUAAAAGGGCCAGGGGGUAUUCUGUUGUGGGCUGGGCUCAUUUCAAAAUGUGGGCGGAAAAAGAGUUAGAAGGAAAAAAGUUCAUGGCUUUUGUAAUUAAUUCUGAGCUGGCUUUCAGCGUUAAUAUUUUUAGCCCAACCCAAUCCAAUAGGGUUCGGGUUGGUUUACAUGGGUCGGGUCUCUUGACCCGGUCCGAAUCCCUUAUAUUAACAAUAAAUAAUUAAUUAUUAAAAUUUUUACAAAUUCAAAAAAAUUAAAUUUAAAUUUAAAAAAUUCGAAAAUGAAAAAUAUCAUCAUUAAAGAUUCAGAAAAUGAUAAAAAAAAAUUAAAAGCUUUAGGAAAUAAUAAAAAAUUUAGAAAUUUUGAAAAUCAAUCAAAAAAAUUAGAAAUUUUAGAAAAUAUUAAAAAUUUGAACAUUCAAAAAUGAUAAUUUAUUAUAAUAAAAAAUUAAGAGGAUCCUUUGGAACUAAAACCUAGAAUUGGAUAAGCCUUUAGGGUUUUAUAAUAGGGAUUCUUGUUUUGCUUUAUCUUGUUUUCUUUUUAAGGGACAAUUUAGGAUGCUUGCAUAUUCUCUAUUAUGAUUAUAAUUGACUGCACUUUUCAAUAUUCGGAUGCUAUUCCCUUGUUUUAGAAUGGUUAAAAUAAACCUUAUAAUUUUCUUGAUAGGUUGCCACAGCAUUAAUAAGCACAUGAUUAGGUUAGGAAUCGAAAGGGUGUUAACCUUAGGGCUAACAUAAUCAAGUACCCGAAUCCAAAAUCUCUAGUUACGUAAAUAGUAAGAUAUCAUCCCGUAUCUUAAUAGGUUUCUGAUCAAGCCAAAAAAGGCUAGUGGCGAUUCCUUAGUCAAAAUUUGCAUAAGCUUAAUUGAUUAAAAAUUUGAAUGCUCGAUAUUGCAUGAGGCAUAGGUUUGAGAAAGCUUGAGUCAAUGGAAGGCCAUUAGCCUGAAGUUGACAAUACCCCUAAAUACAACAAACUCCCUCCCCCACGAGAGGGGUUACAUUGCAACAAUUUCCUUUUUAGACAUUGUUUUUUCAACAUAAAUAUCUCCACACACUUCUUCAUUCUUUUUCAACCGUGCUUUGCUAUGAGCUAGUCUACUACCUAAACCAAAGUGGUUCACUUGGGUUACAGAAUUUGCCAUCUAAAAAUAGUUCAAACCCGUUGAUACCAAAAGUUGAUUUGGUUAUCGAUAAGCUUGUGCUUAGCACGAGAAUGAGAAAUAUGUGGCAUAUGAGUAGGGAUACGUAGCAGCCACAUGCAUAAUGCAUGAGCGUCACCUUAUACAGCCGUCAACAAAUACAAGAGCUAACACACAGUGAUUAACGACGAUUUCUUUAAUAUUAUGUGUCUAGUUGUCGAAAUAUGAUAACGAACAGUUGGUGGCUGCCUAUAUGAGCGCUAGUAGCAAAUUUUCAUUGGAAGUAUUUCAAAUACUAUUCAAAUUACCAAGACGGUGGGCAUCGAGAAUGCACGUUGCGGAGGGAGCUGUUGCCAUUCACACACCCUAUCAUGGAACGAUCGUUGAUGACUACAAAACCAUCAACGCACAAUGAGGACUAUUAUACAAAACACGGGCAAGUGAAGCUUGCGGGAAUGAAGGAGUAUGGGCGAGGCCAAUGGAAGUUACUUAGAAAAACAAUAUCUAAGCAUAGUCGAGGAGCAAUUACUACACCUUUGCUAUAAGUGCCACCAACUAUCCAACAAGAAACCCUUGGCAUGAAUCAAACAAAAUAUUAUCUUUCAAUUAUCUUUACUUUCCUACAUUGUACUUUAAAUUUCCUUAGCUAUAGUUUCAUAUUCACAUCGUCGAUUAGAUUCUAACAUGCAUUUUUAUCCGAUACCUUGUCAUUGAUUGAAUUCUAGCAUUGUAUCUAAAUAUCCUUGAUUUAUGUUAUCGAUUGAAUUCUGGCAUAAUUCAAGAUUGAUCUUGUAACUUUUGGGCCUUGUCAUUGAUUCAAUACCUUGUUGUUUUGAAUAUGUGUCGAAAUUUGAGAUGUCUAUUAUUAGAAAUUGGACUAUAUUUUCUUCCAUUUUCUCUAGUCAUGCCUUUCCUUUUAGGCUAUAAAUAUGAACGUUGCCCAUUUUAAUUGUUAGUUAAUUUUCACGUUAUUGAUGUCCAUAUUUAUACCCAAUGAAAAAUAGAAAAAUUAUGUAGUCUUUAUAUAUUUAUACUUUAAUCUAUUUAAUGCAAGGAUUUUGGGAGAUCCACGGAGAAAAUUGCUGAUUCUGGCACAAACAUUGUGAAUUAAUUGUUUAGUAUGCUGAAGUGGAUGCUUAGUGGAAAAAAAAAAUAGAAAUGUCAAAAAUUUUGUAGGCAAUUCAAUUUAGUGUUAUAACUUUUAGGUCACUCAUUUAAAUUCCUCAACUUUCAAAAUGUCAUCACAUAAUUUACACUAACGUCUUUGAUGGCUGAAAAAGGUGAUGUGGCAUUAUUUUUUAUGAUAAGCCUGCUCCUCCAUGGCUCUUCUACAUAAUUAACAAUAUAAUGUGGCAAAUGGGUGUGGAAAUUGUAAUAUUUGAUUGAGAAGGGUAGGGCCUGGGAAAAAAAAAAAGAUAGAUAAAAAGUUGAAAAGUCAAAAAAAAAGAAAGGAAAAGGAUGUUCAACUCCUUUGGAGAAUAAGAGCUUACCUAGAAAAAAUGAGAGAGAAAAGAUAAAAAUAGAAAUAAAAAGAAAAGAGAGGAAGGGAAAGAAGAAGGAAAAAAGGGGGAAAAGGUAAAGAAGGAAUUUACGAAUACAUGCCAAGGUGGGCUCAUCUAACCGAAUUUAUUUCGAUUUGGAACGGCCAAUAAGGAUUUAAGCCAUUCGUUCGUUUAAUCAUAAUAGUUUUCAAAAUUAUGGCACAAUCUCAAAGUUAUGUAUUUGAAUUGCAAGGCCUAAAUUUUGAAUUGUUCAUCUAAGAAAUUUCAUAGGAAUCGUGGAUUAUGUGAAUAUGAGAUGCAAAGUAAUGGGGAGUGGUAAGAAAAUGAGUCAUCUUUGUUCAUGCACUGUAUGUUUGCCAUAAUAGGCUUCAACUUUGGGAGGAAUUACGUGAGAUAAGUUCUAUAAAUAUGUUACCUUCGGUGUGUUUAAGGGAUUUAACGAAGUAUUAUUCCAUUAAGAGAAAGCAAGGAAGUGCAUGGCUGAGAAUUAAAAAAUAAUAGCUUUUCGGAAUUUUCUAGAUUCUUGUUUUUUUAUGGACAUACACGGCAAGGGAUGUGCCUUUACUUAAUGGAAUAAUAAGGAAGGGGACAAUCACAUUAAAGAAUGUCUUGAUAGGGUGGUGUUCACCAUUGAAUGGAAAUUAUUAUUCCCUGAAGCAAAAGCAUUUGCACUUCCAGCCACUGGGUCAAACCAUAGUCCUAUCCUUUUAUCUUUCAAGCUUGAACCUGUUAAAUGGAGAAAAGGGUUCAAGUUCAAAGCCUUUUGGCUUGAGAAUGAUGAAUGUAGAACAAUUGUUAAAGAGACUUGGAACUGUACUUACUAAGUAGGGAUAAAGGUAGUUGCGAAGUUACGUGCAGUGGUAUUGCCUUAUCCAAAUGGAGUAAAAAAACUUGUAGGAAUGGACAUAAAAGAAUAGACUCAUUGAAGCAGGAACUUCAACAAUGGAUAAACAAUAAUGGAGGAUAUUCCGAAAUGGAAAGAGUCAAGCACUUACAAAGGGAAAUUGAGGCAUUAUGGAGGUAGGAAGAUAUGUAUUGGGGCUGAGAAUAAGAAUUAAUUGGCUGAAAUGUGUGACAAAACCACGAAAUUCUUUCAUGCCACCAUUGUUUAACAACAUCAAAGAAUUUCCAUGUCGCAAAUAUCAUAAGGAAUAUGGGUUGAAGAACCAAGCCUUCUUAAGGAAACUACACUACAAUUUUUCUUAGAACUAUAUCAAUCUAUUGGACCCCAAAUGUUCUUUCCUGUUUUAGAUCAAUGCUCUCGAGUGGUGACAGAAUAAUUGAAUCAAUUGAUGUAGAUGCUUUGGAAGAAUUAAAAUGUGUAGUUUUUUGACUUCGUGCAUCUAAAGCACCAAGGUCAGAUGGCCUUAGUGAAUAGUUUUACUAAGCUGGGCAGAAAUCUAGAGUGAGGUCUUCGAAGCAGUAAAGGUAAUAGGACCCAUAUUUCACUUAUCCCAAAAGUCCCUAAUCUCGAGAGGUCAAACCAAUGACGGUGAAUAGGCUUAAUUCGUUGUUGCUAGAUCUAAUGCUACAAAGCAGAGUGCAUUCGUUGGGGAACGCAAAUUUAAGAUAAUAUAUUCAUUGUAUAAGAGAUGCUACAUCAAAUUAGAAUUUGCAAAAGAAAAAGAAAUUCCAAGCAAUUCUAAAACUUGGAGGUGUAGACUUUUAGAGUGCCAAAACUUAACAUGGGGAGACACUUUAGUGCCAAAAAUUUCAAAAGGCACACUUAAAUUACCAAAAUCGGAGGAAAAAUAGAACACCCAAGUGCCAACAACGAGAAAUUAUGGUCAAACUACUAACAUGGCAUUUCUUCGGUGAGAUAAGUACAAAACAACAUCGUUUUUUGCAUUGACCUGGCUAGAUAGGUGCAAAAUGAUGUUUUUUACGUUGACAUGGCCCCAAAAUUGAAUUUUAAUAUAAAUAUUAAUUAAAAUAUUUUUAUAAAGGGAGAGUAGGUUCGACGAGGGCUAUGCAAGCCCUUGCCAAAGCUUGCUGUAGAUCCCAUUUUUUUAAUAAAUAUAUAUUUUAUUUUAAUUAAUAUUUAUAUUAAUAUUCAAUUUUGGGGCAAAAUGAAGUCAUUUUUGUCAAGUCAUUGUUGAGUUGGCUUCCGGCGAGUCACGUAGACCACAUAUAUUAUUAAACAAAUGCCAUGUCAAAUUUCUAGCUACUCUCGCAGGACUUGGCACCGAUGUGUCCCACUUUUCAAAAAUAGUGACACUUAAGUAUAUCUUUUAAAACAUUCUGCGCUAAAGUGUCCACGUGUGCCAAGUUCUCGCACUCCUGGUGUACUUUAUCCUGGAAACUUGAUAUGAAAAAGGCAUGCAAGCAAGUGGAGUGGUACUUCUUUAAGGCACAUUUAAUUAGAAUAGGUUUUGAUGAAAAAUGGGUGGAUAAUGCAAUGCCUCACAACUAUCUCAUUCGGUGUCAAGUUUAAUGGAGAGCCACUUCAAUAUUUUAAGCCAACAUGAGGGAUUAGUUAAGGGAACCCAUUAUCCCCCUACUUAUUUAUUCUGGUGGCUAAUGUAUUAUCCUCACUAUUGAAGAUUGCAGUUGAUAAUGGUAGCAUAGGGAUUAUACUUAACAAUGGAGUCCUACCCUUUCUCAUAUACUCUUCGCGGAUGGCUUCAUCAUCUUGUUAGAAAGGAAAUUCUGGAACGUCAGAAUUUGGCAACAAUUUUAAAUCAAUACUAUGUACCAUUUGGGAAAGAGGUAAAUUUGAACAAGUGUGGGAUUUAUUUCAAUAGGGACUACCCCAUAGCUUAAAAGAGAAUAUGACAAGGGUGCUAAGACUACCUAUAAUGGAUAAAACAAGGAAAUACCUCGGGACUCCUUCGGAUUGGGUAGUAUCAAACAAAUAGAUGUUUGCUUGGAUUUUGAGACGGGUAAGCACAAAGUUAAAAGGAUGGAAUGAGAAAAUUAAUGUCAAAAGCAAGGAUUGGAAUCGAAAGCUAUAAACGGGGAGCUUAUGUAAAAGGAUGUCAUCGGAGCUUAUGUAAAAGGAUGUCAUCUUGCAGCGACAAGAUAUAGAAGAUUCACGUAUGUCGAGCUAGAAAGCGACCAAAACUUCCAUGAAGAGAUUAAAAGAGGAAGUAGGGGAUUGUUCAGGGGCCUUAUGCAAGAUCAUCGGGUAGCUACGAUCAAGUGGAUGUAUGUUGUACUUUAGUUGGUACGUCCAUGAUGAGGUGCGAUUGGAACGCACCGUUUCGUCUUGAUGCGUUACGAUGGAAAGACACUAAUGGACGGGUACGAAGGAAGACGUAUAAAAGCCUCCCAAACACAACCGUUGGAGGGGUUGGCAGAACAUACGAUCAAAAAAUUCUCUCAUUUGUUUGUUCCAUUUCCAUCAAAGGGAUAAGGCGUUCCAUUUCACUUUUGCAAGAACAAUUUGCAUAUACGCUGCGGAAAUUGGGUGUUUUCCUUGUGAUUGCAUCUAGACCGGCAUGAGAUAGUUUUUGUUCGUGAUUCAUCGACAAUUCAACGUUCAUUCCAGGGCUAAUUAAAGUUUGCGCAUCGGAAUCAGGUAAGUCGUCUUCCGCCGACUUGAAUUCCAACAUUGGUAUUAGAGCUCGGUCGUGGUUUCUACCUUGUUUUUCAUCGAAUUAUCCAGUUCACCAUUUGAUAUUGAGAUUAAGAGUAUGAUAUCUACAAUUGUUGGAUGUUUAUUAAUCGAAAUUGAUGUGAAUUGUCGAAAAAUCGAACCAAAGUGAAGAACGGGUUCGGGGUCGCGUGCAUCCGUGCAAUUUUCGCCAAUUUUUGAAAUAUUUUUUUUGGCCAAAAUCAACUUUUGAAUAUACAAGGUGAAAGUACUCGUCGAGAUGAGUCCGACGGUGGUUCGAGUGCACCCAGAGGAGGCUGGACGCGCCCACACGCGUGGCCAGAAGCUGUUGCGCGUGGGAUCCAUGCGCUGGACGUGCUAGGGACACCAGCGAACAGGCGCGUGACGUCAUGCGCUGACAUCGGCGAACUGACGUGUGAGCGUCACGCGCGCAUCGACGAAGCGACGCGUGCUAACGUCACUAAUGACGUCAUCCAAUGGUCGGUAACUGCUUGGAUGACGUCAUCGAUGACAUCAUAGCCGAAAAAGUUGGCCGGCCGGUCACCGGUCGGCGACUCGACCCAUGACCCGACCGUUGACCGGUCAACGGUCAAACCGGUCAAGUGGUCCAGUGGUCAAACCGGUCAGACCGGCUAGGAGCCGUUUGGCUCGCUGGCGCAUGCGCCACACGUGCCGCGCACUCAGGCGGCGCGUGGGGCCGUGUGCAGGCUCCGAUUGGAGUGUGGUCAGUGGCGUUUGGUUCGUAUGAACGUUUUCUACACAGUAGUAUAAUUAGUUUAUACUUUUGAAUUUUAUAAAUGUAUGAAAAUGCAUAGGAAACCCUAUGUACACGUAAUUUUUGGGGUUUAAUGCAUAAUUUAUUUAUUUGUAGCUUGUAUUUUCUUGUGGUUUAGUAAAUACAGUAGCUAGCUUGUGUGCAAAUGAUGUCAUAUAUGUUGUGUAGAGCUUGGUUCGAUAAUAUCGUGUAUAUAAUUUUAUAUACUUGUAAUUUUCUAGUUGCUAGAAGAUUCAAACAAUGAUAGGAAAUCCAUUGCAUGUUGAAUUGCGAUUUUGAUUAUAGUUGAAGUAUGAUUGUUGCUUAUAAAUUGGUUAUUAUCAUGCUAUGUUUUUUUGUUAUGGAAAAAUAUAGAAAUUACAUGAGAUCAUGUAAUUAUUUUUCCUAAUGGGAGUUCGUAGGUUGGUAGAAUUUGAAAGAGUUCUCACCUAGAACUUAAAAUUUGCGCAAAUUAAACUAAUUAAUGGUAAUAGAACAAUUGUACAUAGAAGUUGAUUUGGAACAUAGUGAACUUUUGCCUCUGUGUCUUUUGUUGAAUUAUCAUUAAUUUAGUUUGUCUUUGCUACAAAUUAAAUAUGUGCGUUACUCAAUAAAGUGUGCUAGUAUUGAUUCUGCGUUUAUUAUGUCAAUGUGAUAUAGCAAUUGAUUAUGGUUUCGGCAUCCAAGACCAAUGUGGCUGACCUCAAUAAAAGUGAGAAGCUGAACGGUGACAAUUAUGAUAUUUAGCAUCGAAAGGUUCAGUACAUCCUUGAGGAGCAAGAGAUUUUGGAAACCCUCAACCAUACUAUGGAUGAACCUGAGUAUGGAACUUCAGGUCAACACAGGAAAGAUCUAGAAGCUUAUCAAGUUUGGAAAAAGAAAAAUAACAUUGCUCGCAUCACGUUGCUGAGCUGUAUGCAAGAUGAUCUCAUGUGUAAGUUUGAAAGUUAUGAUAAAGCUCAAGUUAUGUGGGUUUUCUUGAAGGAUAAGUUUGGGGGUACAUCUACCACUAAGCUAAGGAGACUCACCAUCAAGUUUGACACAUUCCAAAAACGCCCAAAUAUAACGAUGAGGCAACAUUUUCGGCAGAUGUCAAACAUGAUUCGUGAGUUGAAGUCAAGAGGUCACUCCUUUACUGAUGAACAACAAGUUUAGACUGUUAUAAGGUCUCUUCUUGACAAUUGGGAGCAUAUGAACAUCAAUAUGACGCAUAAUGAGAAUAUUGUCACUUUUGAUGAUAUUGUGUGUCACUUAGAAUUAGAUGAUGAGCGCCUAGAGGCUGCAAGAUCCUCUACCCAUGCUUAUGUUGCUAAAUCGAGUUCGCGCAAAGUUUUGGGCUUCAAGCACAAGAGGAAUCUUCAGUUCAACAACAAAGGGAAGAAGACUGAUCAGGCACCCAAAAAGGCUAAGACCUUCCGACGCAAGAAGCAUGGUGGGAAGAAGGACAAGGCCAAGAUGGAGUGCUACAAUUGUGGCAAGAUGGGUCACUUUGCUCAUGAAUGCACUGAGCCAAAAAAGGUACCCUAUUACUCUAUUACUUUGAGUAAUGCUUUUGUUUCUAGUACUAUAAUGAUUGAUGAAUCUCAUCCAAUGUGGACUGUAGACUCAAGAGCAACAGACUCCGUAGCUAGAGACCGAGACGCAUUUGUGGAGUAUCGUUGGAUAUUGCUUGGAAGAAGAUGGAUAUAUGUUGGGAAUAACUCAAGAGUUGGAGUGAAGGGUAUCGGCACACGUAAAUUAAUCUUACGUGUUGGUCGAAACCUAUUUCUGCAUGAUAUCCUUUGUGCUCUAGAUAUUCGAUGAAACUUGGUCUCUGUAGUUGUUCUUCUUAGCUUAAGUUAUGUAUUGAAUUUCCAUGGUGAUUGUGUUGACAUUUUGUAUGGAACAGUUUAUUAUGGUUCAAGUCAUGUAUCAAAUGGUUUUAUGGUGUUAGACAUUGAUUAUGAUCAGUACAAUGUUAAUGUUGAUAGUUUUUUUUCUUUAAUUGCAUCUUUUAAUAACGUUGAGAUUGAUGCAAGUACUUGGCAUACUAGAUUAUGUCACAUUGGAUUGCAAAGAAUGCAAAGAUUAGCUAAAGAAUGCCUUUUAGGGUCACUCACUAAUGUUAGUCUAUCCGUAUGUGAACAUUGUCUAGCGGGAAAAUUAACUAGAAAACCAUUCAGUAAAGUAACUAGAGCUGAAUUUUCAAUUCCAACUCAUACAUUUUGACAUUUGUGGUCCUUUGAAUGUGAGGGUGAGGCAUGGAGCCUUAUAUUUCAUCACUUUCAUAGAUGACUUCACAUGUUUCGGUUAUGUCUUUCUGAUCUUCCAUAAGUCAGAAGCAUUAGACUACUUUAGACAAUAUAUAGCGAUGGUAGAGAAUCAGUUGAACAAAACAAUAUAGGUAUUGAGAAUCGAUCGUGGACGUGAGUAUCUAUCGGAGCAAUUCAAGGCUCUUUAUGAUGAAAAGGGAAUUGUACGACAAUUGACUAUUCCUGGUACUCCACAACAAAAUGGGGUAGCUGAGAUAAGGAAUAGAACCCUAUUGGAAAUGGUUAGAUCUAUGAUGGCGUAAGCAAAUUUACCUAUUUCCUAUUGGGGAGAUGCAUUAUUGACUGCUACCUUUAUACUUAAUUGAGUGCCCUCAAAAUCGAUCACUUUCACCCCUUAUGAAUUAUGGACUGGUAGGAAACCAGACUUGAGUAGUCUAAGUCCAUGGGGAAGUGCAGCUUAUGUUCAUGAUUCUUCCCAUAAAUAUGGCAAAUUAGGUCCCAGAGGGAAGAAAUGUAUCUUAUAGAUAUUCUAAACACUCCAAAGGGUACGUGUUUAUAGGUGAACAAGCUAAUGGAAGUGUGACCGAAAUGGAGUCACAAGAUGUCACGUUCUUGGAGAAUGAUUUUCCUAGUAGAGGUGAGAUUGAUAAGGACUUUCAAUUAUAUUAAAUGGAAGAUUCUAAUAACACAUCCACUGAUGUUGUAGAGGGAAAUGAAAAUUUACCUCAACAUGCAAGACCUAGUGGGAGUGUUGCAUCGCCUAACGAAUUGAAUUCAAGAGAAAUUCAAUUGCGUAAAAGUAAUCGUAAAAGUAUUCCUUGUCGUCAUUUUGAGGUUGAAGGGGAAGCAUUUAUGAUUGCUUAGAAUGACGAUGCUGAGCCUAAGACUGUUCAAGAGGCUCUCUCAUCCUCUAAUAAGGAAAAAUGGAGAAAAAAUUUGGAAGAUAAGAUGGAGUUAAUGAGGGCAAACCAUGUCUGGGACUUGGUUGAUCUACCACUCAAUCAUAAGGCCAUUGGAAACAAAUGGGUCUUCAAGAUUAAGCGAAGGGCAGAUGGAUCCAUUGAAAAGUAUAAGGCUCGCCUUGUGGCGAAAGGUUAUACUCAACAAGAGGGUAUAGAUUAUGAGGAAACCUUUUCACCAGUUGUAAGUUUUGCCUCAAUACGCCUUAUUCUAGCUAUCGUUGCACAUUUGGACCUUAAAUUACAUCAGAUGGAUGUACAGACGGUAUUUCUUAAUGGAGAACUAGAUGAGGAAAUCUAUAUGAAACAACCAGUAGGUUUCAUAGCUAAAAGGUCAAGAGUAUAAAAUUUGCAAGCUUCAUCGCUCAAUAUAUGGCCUUAAGCAAUCAUCUAGACAGUGGUAUAUUCAUUUUCAUCGAGCCAUAACCACUUUUGGUUUCACGAUGAAUGAGGAAGAUCACUGUGUAUAUGUCAAGCGGUCCGAAGAUAAAUUUGUGAUUUUAUCACUUUAUAUGGACGAUAUUCUAUUGGCUUUUUAGGUUUUGGUUAUCACCAUAAAAGAAUGGUUGUCAUCUAAUUUUGAAAUGAAUAACAUGGGAGAAGCUGCUUAUAUAUUAAGAGUUAAGAUCGAAAAAGAUCGAUCAAGGAAACUCCUUACUUUAUCACAAGAGUCUUAUAUUAUGAAGAUUCUUGAGCAUUUCAAUAUGUAGCAUUGUAAUCCCAUUGAUACCAUUGUCAUGCAAGGUGAAGGCCUAAGUACUGAGAUGUGUCCUAAGACUUCAGAAGAAAUUAAAGCAAUGAAAUUGUUCCUUAAGCUAGAGCGGUCAGAAGUUUGAUGUAUGCUAUGAUGUGUACUAGACUGGACAUAUGCUAUGCCGUGGGACUGGUGAGCCAAUAUCAAUCAAAUCUUAGUUAAGAAAACUGGAAAGCAGUGAAGAGGAUCCUGAGAUACUUGAAGGGCACUAUGGACUAUUGACUUUGUUACCAAGGGAAUGAUUUACGCCUAUUGGGUUAUUCAUAUGCCGAUUGAGGUGGAGACCUGGAUGAGCGUAAAUCGACUUCUGGAUAUGCAUUCUUGUUCAAUGGAAAUGCGAUUUCUUGAAAUAGCAAGAAACAGACAUGCACGGCCUUAUCUACGAUGGAGGUAGAAUUUAUUGCAUGCUCUGCUGCAGUGCAAGAAGCAGUAUGGCUAAAACGUUUCUUAGAAAAUUUAACCACUGUCACUGAGGUUCCAAGACCGGUGACAGUUUAUUGCGAUAGUCAAGCUGCUCUUGUCUAUGUGAAGGAUCCCAAGUAUCAUGGAAGGACAAAGCACAUUGACAUAAAGAACAACUUCAUAAGAGAUAUGAUAGCGCAAAAAGAAGUGAUCCUACAAUAUAUUUCAACCAAUAGAAUGGUUGUUGAUUCAUUUACGAAGGCUAUUCCUAGAGACAUAUUCUUGACCCAUAGGAUGUCACUAGGAUUGUGUAGAAUGUGAUAUCUGUUAUUGUAGAGGAUCGUUGAUUUAUGUAUUUGUGGACAUAUGUAUUGUACUUGUUUAUUUAUUAGUGAUUUGAUGUUUUAUCAAUAAGUACAAAUCCACUAUGAGACUAGCACAAACACACAUAUAUUAUUGAAAAGUAUGUCAGCAGGCAAUGAUUGGCUCACUCACACGAGCAAUCGCCUCAAGUGCUUUAGAUAGCACAUUGAGAUGAGAUGUUAUGUACAAAUAAAUGCUGAAGAGCAAGUCUGGUACAUAAAAUAUGUCGCCUUGAUUGGAAUCAAGAGGAGGUCUGUGAUUUGUUUAUAAUAAGACCGAACAUGAUUGUCCCACAAUCAUGUAUGCCUGAAAGAUGCCGGAUGCGAGUAUUUAAUUGGGUGCUAUAGAAAGCGAGCUGAUAUAGCACUUGAGCUAAAUAUAAGUACAUGAGAAGCACGUGACUAUGUUUACACUAAGAUAUGUAUAAUGGAUAUAUUUGAUAAAUGACAUACGCUCUUAUAGAAAGAGAAAUCCACUAUAGCAUGUAAUUCAUACUACAUGUGCAUUAUACGAUCAAUAAGGGAAGAUGAGUAAAAUUAUCCCUAUUUACUCAUCGUGUGAGCCCUUGAGGUAAUUUAUAAUUUACCUCAAUUUUGUGCCCUAUGUUAGUUCUGACUAUGUUCUCGAAGUGAAAGAUCCAUGUUGCUACUUUAGCAUGUUACGGGCGGUCAUGAAUAGAUAUGGCCUUAUGGGAUGUGUCUAGGAAAGCAGUUGUUCUGAAAUGGAGAGAGACAUGAGUGUGCGAAGGAACACUAUUGUUGUUUUACAUCUAUCACAUGUAUUUAAUGGUCGACCAAUUAUAUCGCCAUAUGUGGUUGCGGAUAUACUUGUAAAUACAUGAUGUGUUUUUUAGAAUAGUCAAGUAUAGCCUUUAAGGGAUAUAUAUAAUUGAACUGAUGUAACAAAAUAUGUCUGGGGCACUGUGAGACAUCGAUUGUUUAUUUAUUUUCGGGGUUGUAGCCAUUAUGUCAUCCCUAAUAGGUGCAUAAUUUGAGCUCAUAAGUACAGGUGUACUCACUGGUUGCACGGCUUAUUUGCCAGUAUGAAUUGUUUUGUAAAGUUGAUGAAUGUUGAAUGCCUUAUAUUCUUGAUAGAGCACUAUCAAGCCCACCAUGUCCGAGUGGGAGAUGUUGUAUUUUAGCUAAUACAUCCAUGAUGAGGUGCGAUUGGAACGCACCGUUUCGUCUUGAUGCGGAGCGUUGGAAAGACACUAAUGGAGGGGUACAAAGGGAGACGUAUAAAAGCCUCCCGAACACAACCGUUGGAGGGGUUGGCAGAACAUACGAUCAAAAAAUCCUCUCAUUUGUUUGUUCCAUUUCCAUCAAAGGUAUAAGGCAUUCCAUUUCACUUUUGCAAGAACAAUUUGCAUUUACGUCGUGGAAAUCGGGUGUUUUCCUUGUGAUCGCAUCCAGACCAAUGUGAGAUAGUUUUUGUUCAUGAUUCAUCAACAAUUCAACGUUCGUUCCAAGGCUAAUUAAAGUUUGCGCAUCGGAAUCAGGUAAGUCGUCUUCCGCCGACUUGAAUACCAACAAUGUACGAUGUUAACCAAGGAGAAGAGGCCUUUUAGGCUGAAGUGAGAACUAUUGAGAAUCUAAAUCACAUGAACCUUGAUCAAGAUGUGGGGGUACUGUGCAGAGGGCGAGCACAGGCUCUUGGUUUAUGAGUUCAUGGAUCACGGUUUUUUGUCUAAAAAUCUUUCUUCCCCUCAACUCGACUGGAUCAAAAGGUUUGAGAUCAUCGUAGGAGUAGCCAAAGGGCUUGCUUAUCUUCAUGAAGAGUGUUUAGAAUGGGUUCUCCAUUGCGAUGUGAAGCCACAAAUAUACUUAUUGAUUAAAAGUUGGCGGAUUUUGUGCACUCUAAGGCCAUGUUCGGUAACCAACCAAACAGUAACUAUUUAUGUUCUUUUGUUCCUCCAAACAUAAAAAGAACAAAAAGCCAUUGUUCCUAGGAAUAGAUUUGGAACAGAAUUAAAAAGUAAAAAAAAAAAGCUACUUCUUUGUUCAGUAACUACUUCUCCUUCUUCUUCUUCUUCUUCUUCUUCAAUUGGUCACGUUAUCGGUCCUCAAUGAGGUUAAGCCUAGUCGAGCCAAGCCUCCCCAUGUCUAGGCGAGCUCGGCCUCACUAGAUCUGGACAAGGUCGACCUCGUCAGAGGCCCAUGACACUCCAAUAAGGUCAUCGGCCAAGGUUGAGGUCGGCAAUUGAGAAGAAAGUAGAAAAAGAAGAAAAGGAAAAAAGAAAAGAGAAACUUUGUAAUAAAAUUAUUACAAAAUUAAAAGAAAUUAUAAGUUGCAAAAGAAUUUGUGAGUCAUAUGAAACACAUUUCUAUACCAAGAAUAGAAAUUUUGGACAGUUGUCAAGUGCCUUCAAAUGUUCAUAAAUUUAUCCAAGAAAUAGAAUCAGAAAAAAUCAUUUAACAGAAAUUAUUUUCGAGAACAAAAGGAUUACCAAAUACACCCUAAGCUUCUUAAUAAAAAUGGCCCUAAGAAUAUUAAUUUCUCUCUUACUUUUCUGAUUGUUUAGGACAUAUUUAGUUGAAUAAAUGAAAUAGAUUGUGAUCAAAGCCGAAAAGCCUUUUCUCUCUCUCUCUCUCUCUCUCUCUCCUCUCUUUUCUUUCUAUUGUCUUCUUCAUCCUUAAGCCACGGGGGAGGGUUUGAGCUAGUCUCAUCUUCCCCUUCCUUAUUUGUUGAUUCUUUUUUUGCAUUUUAUUGUUAUAAUCUUUCUUUUUAUUCCCUGCUGAUUUUAGAUCUAGUCUAGUUCUCAAUUUUAAAGUUUAAACUCCCCUGAUCUAAUUUUAGAUUUGGGUGCUACCUUCUCCCGUUCUAGAUCUAAGAGUUUAAUAAACAUGCUUUCGGGGAUUUGAUCCCCUUCUACUCUGGUCGUGUACAAAUUCCACACCUUCAGCUUCAAUGAUGAUCAUUUUAGUAUCUUGUUAAAUUAUGAAAAUUUGCUCAUCUAUAUGUUAGAUCUAUAUUUAUUCAAUCUACUUUGGUUGUCUAUGUACAACAAUGGUAUAGAUGUAGCCGAACUUAGGCGUGCACCACCAAUUGGUAGCUUCAUAGUUGUUGGAGAAGGAAUUUCCGACAUGUGCUUAUCAUUGAUAAAGACACGAGAUCUAGUAAUCAAAUGUUGAUUUUUGCUUGACAAAUAUGUUCUUAUGGAACGAGUGUAUGCAUUUCAAUAUUGCAUCAUUUCAAUAAAGACACCUCUACUAGUGCUCUGUUGAUGCAUUUCAAUAUUCUUGCUUUGUUUCAAUUUGCUUUAUCAUGAAUAUAUACUUCCAUAUCCUUUUGUAUAAUGAAUACAUUUUUCUUUCAAUCAAAAAAAAAAAUUUGGGCGUAUUUGUUUAGUAAAAAAUUUCAUGAUUCCUGAAAAUUAUAUCAUUUUCCACAAAAAUAUUUUUUUCAUUUUCAUUUUCAAAUUAUAUCACUUUAAACAUGUAUGUCUUCUUUUCAUAAAUGGUUCUUCGUUGACUGAUCAUUUUCAACAAACCAAAUGAGUAAAAGUCCAAAAAACUAAUUCGUAUAAAGCUUUUUCAUUUAAACAAACAUGCCCUUAAAAAAUGUGGACUUCCUUGUUUGGGGCGUGCAGGUGUUUGUGGUCGGCUUACAAGCUUCAUCCUCAUAAAGUGAGCUCGCAGAUUUUGCACAUCAUUACUAAAAAAAAAAAAAUGGCAUAAUGAAACAUGAAUAAAGCUAAGGGUUAAUAUCCUGAAAAACCUCAAACUGAAUAUAUCUGUCAUAAAUUUAUCCCAAAAUAAUCAUAAAAAAUUCCAAACUUGUAGAUUUGUAACAAAUUUAUUCAACCUCUAAAAAUCUUAAAACUGCUACAUUUGCGAAAAAUAUACCAUCUAUUAAAUUAGAUUAAUAUCACAAAAAAUCACAAAAAUUGUACAAAUGUAGCAAACAUAAAGUAAAAUCCCAAACUGAUACACUAAUCAACUGUCACAUGCCAUCCAAUUCAAUAAUUUGACAGUAAAAUUUAACGAAGACUAACAAAUGGUAAAUUUGUCAUAAGUAUAUCAGUUUUUUGUAAAUUUAUCAAAGGUGUACCAAUUUGGGAUUUUUAGUGGUAAAAAAAUUAGUCUAGGUAAAUUUAUCACAUGUAUAUUAAUUUGGAGUUUUUUAAGGUAUUAAUCCUAAAGAUAAAUAUCAAGCAUUGGCUCUGUGAAAUUGGCAAUGAGGGAUGUCAAUUGCAAUUUUGUUGAGGACAAAUUGUAACCAUUCGAAUAGACACCUCUAACUAGUAGCUAAUGACUUCUUCUGUUGGAAAGCAGAAACUUUACAGCUUUUAAAAAUACUACCACUGGAUGGAUGGUACAUACUACGAAGCCACCUUUUUCUCAAUGAUGUAAUAUUUCUAUGACUAAUCAAACAUUCUAAGUUGGAUUAGUCAACACGAAUAUAGUGACAAAUGUAGACUCAUUUCUUGGGACAGUAAUGUGGAAUUAAUGGAAUCACGAGUUGUGAUGUCAAAUGCAUGAAAUGAUUGGCUAAAUUUUUUAAUUACUAGUCAAAAUGGUAAUAUUUAGCUCAAAUUUACGAGAUUGGUCGCACUUGGUAAUGGCACAAGAAAUCAAAUUAAUUUGUGCACUUUUUCCACCCGUUGGCACACAUGCACAUUUCAAACCUAGUUAAUAAUCUAGUCCCGUGGGUUAAGUGAGAGGACCUCAUCUCUAAUUCCGCAACAUCUAAGGUUGGCUAUGACAACGUGCUCCAUUUUUCAUUGGGAUAAUGACAAUGAAAAUCCUAAAACUUUCUUUUUUUCUUUUUUUCUUUUUUUGUAAAAGUAAUAUUUCAUUGAUUCUACAAAAGUACAAAAGAGGAACAAUGCAGCUCAACUACAAACCAAAAUAAACCUUUUGCAACUUCAUAUUAAAAAUAAAUUGCAAAUAACAAGAUAGUAAUAUUUCAUUAAUUUCUAAAAAAAUACAAGAGAGAAACAAUGCAAUCCAACUACAAACCAAGAUAAACCUUAUACAACUUCAUAAUAAAAAUAAAUUCCAGAUAACAAGCUAAAUUAUUAAAACAAGGUUAAGAGUGCUCAAAGAGUAGAUUUGUAACUUCUUCAAAUCAAAUCGGUGACCGAUCACCAAAUUUGUCUUUGAUAACAUGUACACACCAAAAUCUCCAACUGUUGCUAUAACUUUGCCUUUCCGCAGUGCUUACCUAAAUUUGGUGUCCUCAAUACCAUCAUUGUUCAAAGCCACAAAUUUGAAGGGGUGCAAAUUUGAAACUUGUGAAAGCGGAACCUUUGCAAAGCUCCUUCGAACUCUUUCGAAAUUGGAUUGUACACGAACAAAACCCAAGGGAAGGAAAACCCCAAAAUCAUACACCAAAAAUCUUAAAUCUAGAUUAGACUAGGGUAGAAAUCUCCCGAAAUGGGAGAGAGAAGUUUCAAGAUCUAAAUUAGUAGAACAAGUUUAAGAGUCACAUGCUCAAAGAGCAUAUCUGUAACUUCUUCAAAUCAAAUCGGUGGCCGAUCACUGAAUUCAUCUUCAGUAAUGCGUACACACAAAGGUCUCCAAUUGUUACUACAGCUUUGCCUUUCGGCGAUGCAUACCUAAAUUUUGUGUGCUCAAUACCAUCAUUAUUCAAAGCCACAAGGUUGAACGGGUGCAAAUUUGAUACCUGUGAAAAUGAAACCUUUGCAAAGCUCCUUCAAACUCUUUUGAAAUUGGAUUUGUACACCAACGAAACCUAAAGAAGCGAAACCCCAAAAUCAUACACCAAAAAUCCCUAAAUCUAGAUUAGAUUGGGGGUAGAAAUCUCCGUGAAAUGGGAGAGAGAAGUUUCAAGAUCUAAAUUAGAUGAGAAGAGAAAAACUCCACAAAACGGGAGGAAAGCAAAACAAGAAAACAUAGAUCUAAAUUUGCCAAAGAAAAAAAGGGAAGGGAGGGAGAGAUUUAGCUGAAACCCUCCUCUUCACAGUGGUUAAAAAAACGGCUACGUAAUGAAGAGAGGAGAGAAAAAAAUAACCCUAAGCAUGUUGUAAGUCACAUUUAAUCCUAAAACUCUUUUUCUUCAAUUAUUUAAAUUCUAAAACCUGUCAUCGUCCUUCAAAUUAGUCAUUCCAUUAACUCCCUAUCCUUCCUCUUUAAUGGAUGAAAAGGUCCAAGUUGGCAUUUUUUAUUAUUUAUUUCAUCCCUGUGGCUGAGAAUCUUGCUAAAAUCUAAAACAGUGUUGUUUAACGCAAAAACUAAUGUUAAUCCAAUUACUCUUUUAUAAAAUUAUCUAAUAACGAAAAAUGAAUUAAUUUUUUGUAGCUCAUAAAAUUAAUAGGAAAGGGAGUAGAAGUGCGUUAAUCCCCUAUGUCACGCCCCAAACCUCGAGCAAGUGCACAUCCCUCAAUGGUCGAUGUAACUGCGACGUCUCAGGACGCAUCAUCAACCCCUUUCUUUUAAUUGCACAUGCGGAAGCGUAUAACAAAAUUCCCAGACAACACAAAUAUGGGAUAGAAAAGCAAGAUGCCAUUUUCACCAAAACACUUUUCAUAAACAAACUAGUUUAUACACAGAGUCCAACUCUAAGGUCUAUGUACAGACUAUCUCCAAAAAGAACUAUUGAGCCAUCCAUGCUCCUAACCCUUCCGUCUCAAGCUCCGGGUUUUUCACACUAGGGACCUGAAAAGAUAAGCCCACGACGGCAAGUUCACCUCCUAAGCCUCGAUUAGUACACCAACUCUAUCACGCCCCGAUCCUUGGACGUGUGCCCAUCCCUUGGUGGUCGAUUAAAAAUUGCGACUUCCCAAGACGAGUUGCCAACCCUUUUUAUUUUAUUGCACAUGCAGAAGCGAAUAACAAAUUCCCUAACAAUAAUUACCUCGGGAUAGAAAAACAUGACAACAGAUUCACAAACAAAACAUGCUUUUAUAUACACACUGAGUCAUGUACAAAAGUCUACAACCAAAAAGACUUCAAAAGAUCGACUCUCAAAAGAAGUUGUUAUAUCUGACCAACAGUUCAUAUCACCUCAACUAGGCUCCAGAUCCUCCACUCUACGACCCCAAAAAGAAAUGAACCCAUGACGGGGAGAGAUAUAAAUCUUAGCAAGUUCACGCUCUAAACCUCGAUUAGGAGGGUAAUACGUCUAAAGGCAUCCUAACCACACAACCAUACAACCAUAGAGACUUACAUCGUUUCAAAUCCUCCCUGCAGGUCAACACAGUUCAUAUCACAAAUAGCCACAAAAGCAUGAGCAAUAAACAAGCUCAUCAACCGGAAUGCCACACUCAAAUUUCAAAUAAGCAUGGGGGUUCUGAUUAUAGAGCCAAAUUGUUAUGACACAUCUCAUACUAUGCCACACAAUUUUGUCCCAUAAUCUGGCGCAUUCAACUCAAUUAAUCAUGUGUUCCUAGUUUUAAUCUCGGCUUAUAGCACAACCUACUCGUUGUUUGGCGGUCUUCUGGCAUAGCCAUGCGUCAUCUCACCCCAUUGAGCAUGGCUACGUCUUUCCUAGACGGAUUUCCCGAAAGAGCAUAGAUCCAUAAUCUACUGUGAUUGGCUUCCGUUGUCCAGGGGCAACCCAUAUAGGGGCUUUGUCCAGCUUAAUAGCCUGGGAUGGGUUCUCUUAACCAACACACGAUCACUCAAUUAUGGCCAACGACACUGUGCAUUGUAUUCAAAUGUCUCAAUUAAAAUAAUGCACUUGGCUCAUUUUCCUCGUAUUAAAAACAUCCGGUGAAAAUUGUUGUGUGUAGGUACAUGGUCAAAUCGAACCAGAAAAAUUGAUACCCUCCUCUUAAAAUCCCACUAUUUUAUAUAGUACUUAAAACUAUUUUCGAUAUCAAAACCCGACACUUGGGAUUUUCUGAAUAAAUAUUGAAAUUCACAAAUUUUGGGAUAAAUAACCAAAAUUCCAAUCAGCACUCAAUUUGCACAAAAUAACACCAAAUUGCAUAAACUGAACACACCAUUGCAAUUAAUACGAAAUUCCAGUCACCAACUAUUCUGGUCUAAUUUUCGAAAAAUAUUAAAUAUUCAAAUAAUUUUCAAAAUUAUUUAAAUACAUACAUAUUAAUUCAAUAAAUACCAACUUAGGCUAAAAAUUGCUAAUCUAACCACCUAUUGGACUUAUAAAAUUAUACUAACCAUUCUAACUUCAAGGCCACAUAAUAAACUAUCUAACUAAAAUUUCUAACCACCUAAUUUACUAUUUUACAAACCUAAAUUAACUAAACAAGCUAAUAACUACACUAAUCUAAUCUUACUUUAAUCUAAACACCCCUUAAGCGUCAUUAACAUCCUAAUUAGAGUUUAGUGCAUAAACUCACCGGUUUAGCGCGAAAACCGGUUCACCGCGACGGCAGCGCGACGGCAGCCGAAGCUCGAGCUCACGGCGACGCCAACAGGAGACAAACCGAAGCUGAAAACGGCCCCGCAAGUCAUAGCCAAGGGGUUGGACUCGGUUCUGAUUGAGGCUGGCUUUGGCUUGGUUUGGCUGAGUUGCGGUGGACGCGGCAACGUCGGAGCGGAAAGGUUGGGCUUGCGAUUCCUAGACGUAUGGCCGUAAAAUGGAGGAGAAACGAACAGAGAUGGCAGCUGGCGCACGAAGGCGCUGCAAGGGGCUGCUUCGGUCAACGUUAGGGGCUUCGCUUGGAGUGGAGUUGACUUAGACGUGGCAGCUGGGAUGGCUUCGGUGGGAGAGACAAGCAGUGGUGGUAGAGUAGAGAAACGAGACCGAGAAUGAGGGAAAAGGAAGCAGGUGCUGGCGGAGAGAGAGAGAAAACGAUGGAGCUGCUUCGGUGAAGGAAUAAAGGAACGAAAGCAGAAGACAUAGGGGUCGGUCGAACUGGCGUGCGCGAAAGAAAGACCGAAGGAGAGGGGCAGCUUGGCGUGAGGAGGAAGCUGCGGUUUGGGGGGGAAUAAGUCAACAAAAUUAUCCACUCAAUUAAAUGCUUGGUUUAUAAGCCUUCAAGUUAAUCCCCUUUGUCCCCAUCACUUUCAUGCAUCUAAAUCCCCACAAAUAACAAUUUAUGACGCCAAAUGUUGUAGCCCCCUUCAAGCCUCCGAAUUUCCUCACUUUGGACUUCAAUUCUUCACCAAAUUCCCCAAUUUAAUAUCCAAAUUUGCUAAGGAGGAAGCCCACACUAUUUCUACAAUUUCUUUUCACCAAAUAGUUCACUUUGGAGGCCAAAAAUCCCUUCAAUUUGGUCCAUUUGAAUUUUUGUUCUUUUCCGAAUCGUCCGAAUUGAUUUUCCGUAAAAAUCCCGAGCUCGCCGAAAAUUCUUCGAAUGAUGAGUUGACGUUUCUAAAAUAAAUUAUGACAUAUCAUAACUUUUAAUUUCUGAAAUCGGGUUCAAAUUUGCGGUUAAUUUCAAUCUGGCGAUUUUAGCAUGACCUAACUUACUAGGUAGCUUUUAUGAAUUUUUUAUGCAAUUGACCUGUGGUUGAUUAUUUUCAAGCCAUAAUGUACAUCUUCAAUGCAUUGAUGACUCUCAGUUGUCGUGAAAAUUUCGAGGUUUCAAAUAUGGACAUAGGGUAUAAGGUAUAGAAAUGACAGAAAAAUCGGUCUAGUGCCGUUCGAUAGAAAUUUUGCAAUUAGGUGGAAUCAUCCACACACUAAUCACAUAUCUCUAUCGCAUCGACCUAUCUCUAGUCUAUGAUCAAUUUUUUACUGUGCCGUAAUGACCCUUGCAUAUCAGUAUGGUCGAGUAGUCGAUUAUUGGUCGAAUUCUCAGGUCUAUUGCGUUUAGAUUCUUCAACGGCUUCACCUGAUAGACUAGUUAUCCCGUUAGUGAUCAGCUCAGGGAAAAGAACUAUAGCCGCAUCAAUGAAAAACCCAACUUAUUCAAUCGAAAACAGAGCCUGAAAUUCAGGAUGUCACAAACUCAACUCGGGGUAUCUCUCUAGAACCACCCCAUAAACAAAGCAACGGCUAACACCCAACAAUCAACAAAUAACACAAUCAGGGCCAACUAACAAUCAAUUAGUCGGUUCACAUGCAACCUUAUCGAGCACAACAUUCCCUACACGUUGCAUCUCAACACAAUACACGAAAUACACAUGGCCCUUAGAUGAUAUAGUUCAUCAAUCACACACUAGUCGCGUCACAAGUGAUCUCACCUAGCCAUUACCACACCCUACACGCUAUUGAUUCAUGCGUGCGUGUCAUAAAAAAUGUGCCCAACUCAUGCACAGUCAAAACCAAUGAUGCCAUGAUUCACAUACGCUCUUGCACUUUAGUGCGCCACCCAUCAUGCAUUAAUUGAUCACACUGGUUCCGAUCAUAAGGUGAAAUCGCUAUGACAUAUCCCAUACCAUGCCACACAAUUUUACCUCAUAAUAAGACCCAACCAUCUCAACACUCACGCGUGUUCCACUUAUUAAUGACCUCCCGGCCGUGGCUAACUUUCCAGUCAACGAUCAUCGACCUCAACACUCGUGCGUGCUCCAGUUAUUAAUGACCUUCUAGUCAUGGCUAACUUACCAGUUAGCGAUCAUCUGACUCCUGCCAAGAUACCAAUAAAUAUCGGGCUUCGUCCCACCCCAUCGGGCACGGCUACAUUUAGAACUCUCGUUUAGACAGUAUCCCAAAAAUGGACAUCGAUCCAGAAUCUACCGGAUUGGCUUCUGACUCCCAUCAGGUAUCGCCCCCAAACUCCCGUUGGGUGACGGAUUCCACUUCUUGAUCAUGCAAGUACACCACUAAGACUCCCUUUUUAUCUUUGAGCAUUUAAUCAAUGCACAAUACUUACAAAUACAAUUUCAAAUCAUUUUCCCCUAAAGGUGGUCCAUUUCGGUAUCUCUCGGACAAAGCAUAUUUCCCUUUUUUGUGAAAAUCACUCAAUUCAUGUAGAUACCCAUACAUUUAUACACUCAAAUCACCUCAUAAGAUCAAAGCACAUAAAUUUAGACAACUUUUCAUUCUUGGGUGGACAGUGCGCGUGAACAGUACCUCGUGAACAAUAUUCAAAUGAACAGUGAAUUUCCAGAAUUAAAUAACCAAUAAAUUAAAUCCAAACGCCAUUAAAAACACUAAUUAAAGCAAGCAAUAAAUCAAUUAAAGCUAAACAAGCUUAAUUAAGUACAUAAGCAUCAUUAACCCAAUAAAGCAAGAUUAAGCUAAACUAAUCUUAGUCAUUCAUCUAACCACCUAUCUUAGGACUAGUAUAGCUUAAUUAAAUCUCUUAAACUAGAUUCAACACUAAUUAAACCAACCCUAAGCAAGUUUAUUAUUUAAAUAUUAAAAUAUGUCAACGCUGCUCCAAUUUUCAUUGGAUAAUGCCAAUGAAAAUUCUUACACUUGUGUCAGUCCGUCACAUUUAGUUUUCAAAUUCCUUUUCUCGAUUAUUUAAUUAUUAAAAUAUGUCGUCAUCCUUCAAGUUAGUCAUUUCAUUAACUUCCCAACUUUUAGUUGAUGGAAAAGUCUAGGCUGGCAUUUUUUAUUAUUUAUUUCCUCCACAAGGGCGACAUUUUGCGUUCAUCCUUUUAUGUUUUAUAAAAUUAUUUAUUAAAGAAAAAUGAAAAUGUUUUUUUUUUUUUUUUGAGAUUGUAAGAUUAAAAGGAAAGGGGGACGGCAAUGUGUUGUGCCCUCUAUAGCCAACCUCCCUGUCGGGGUCGAGGUAAGGGUGGUUGGCCCUCACUUAGCCACAAGCGCAAGCUACAAUUCUUGCAACCACCAGGCAAGGGCUGCUGCAACCAUCAAGCAAGGGCCCUUGCCUAUGAAUCAAGAUAAACGUCAAGUGGUGCCUUUAUCAAAUAUCGCUAUGGUGCCGAGGGAUGUCAAUUGCAAUUUCGGGGAGGACAAACUGUCCGCCAUCAAAUAGAGAAGUCUAACUAGUAGCCACUGACCAUUAUCAGAAAGCAGAAAUUUUAGCACUUUGAAAAAGACAACCACUGGAUAGAUAGUAUGUAUCAUGGGACCACCAGUUUUCUCAAUGAUGUGAUAUCUCUAUGGCUAAUCAAACAAUCCAAAUUGCAUUAGUCAAAUACAAAUAAAGUAACAAAAGGAGAAUCAUUUCCUGCGUUACUGAUGUGAAAUUAAUGGAAUCACAAACUUUUACCUAAACCGCAUAAAAUGAUUUACUAAAUUUGUAAAUUAAAUAAGACGUGAAACAAACUAAUUAUAAUUAGAUCAAAUAUGGAAGAAUGGUUGCACAGUUUGUGAUGGCACAAAGAAAUCAAAAUUAAUUUGUACACUUUAUUCACUCGCUAGCACACAUGCAUAUAUCAAACAUAGUUACUAAUCUACUCCCAUGGAAUAAGUGAGAGCACCUCAUCUCCAAUUCCACAACAUUUCCGAAGUUGGCUAUGGCAACGCUGCUCCAAUUUUCAUUGAAUAAUGACAAUGAAAAUUCUUACACUCGUGUCAGUUUGUCACAUUUAGUUUUCAAAUUCUUUUUCACGAUUAUUUAAAUAUUAAAAUAUGUCGUCAUCCUUCAAGUUAGUCAUUUCAUUAACUUCCCAACUUUGAGUUGAUGGAAAAGUUUAGGCUGGCAUUUUUUAUUUAAUUAUUUCCUCCACAAGGGUGACAUUUUGUGUUCGUCCUUUUAUGUUUUAUAAAAUCUUUUAUUAAAGAAAAAUGAACAAGUUUUUUUUUUUUAAAAGCUUGUAAGAUUAAAAUGAAUGGGGGACGGCAAUGUGUUGUGCCCUCUAUAUCCAACCUCCCUUGUCCGGGUCAAGGUAACAGUGGUUGGACCUCACUUGGCCAUAGGCGCAGGCUACUAUUCUCGCCACCACCUGGGCAAGGGCUGCCGCGACCAUGAAGCAAGGGCCCUUGCCUGUGAAUAAAGAUACACGUCAAGUGCUGCCUCUAUCAAAUAUCGCUCCAGUGCCGGGGGAAGUAAAUUGCAAUUUCGGGGAGGACAAAUCGUCCGCCAUCGAAUAGAGACUUCCAACUAGUAGCCAAUGACCAUUGUUGGAAAGCAGAAAUUUUAGCACUUUGAAAAAGACAACCACUGGAUAGAUAGUUUGUAUCACGAGACCAUCAGUUUUGUCAAUGAUGUGAUAUCUCUAUGGCUAAUCAAACGAUCCAAAAUGGCUCAGUCAAAUACGGAUAAAGUAACAAAAGGAGAUUCAAUUCAUGGGUCAAUGAGGUGAAAUUAAUGGAAUCACAAACUUUCAAGUAAACCGCAUGAAAUGAUUUACUAAAUUUGUAACUUAGAUAAGACGUGAAACAAAAUGAUUAUAAUUAGCUCAAAUAUGAAAGACUAGUUGCACAGUUUGUGAUGGCACAAAGAAAUCAAAAUCAAUUUGUGCACUUUAUUCGCCCGCUAGCACACAUGCAACCUAGUUACUGAUCUACUCCCAUAACUUAAGUGAGGGCACCUCAUCUCCAAUUCCCAACAUUUCCGAAGUUGGCUACGACAAUGCUGCUCCAAUUUUCAUUGGAAAAUGACAAUGAAAACUCUUACGCUCGUGUCAGUCCGUCACAUUUACCUUUCAAAUUCUUUUUCUCGAUUAUUUAAAUAUUAAGAUAUGUCGUCAUCCUUCAAGUUAGUCAUUUCCUUAACUUCUCAACUUUUAGUUGAUGGAAAAGUCUAGGCUGACAUUUUUUAUUAUUUAUUUCCUCCACAAGGGAGACAUGUUGUUUUCAUCCUUUUAUGUUUUAUAAAAUCAUUUGUUAAAGAAAAAUGAGUUUUUUUUUUUUUUUUAAGCUUGUAAGAUUAAAAGGAAAGGGGGAUGUCAAUGUGUAGUGCCCUCUAUAGCAACCUCCCUUUUCAGGUUCGAGGUAAGGGUGGUUGGCCCUCACUUGGCCAUAAGCACAGGCUACUAUUCUCGCCACCACCAUGCAAGGGCAGCUGCGACCAUCAAGAGAGGGCCCUUGCCUGUGAAUAGAGAAGUCCAACUAGUAGCCAAUGACCAUUGUCGGAAAGCAGAAAUUUUAGCACUUUGAAAAAGACAACCACUAGAUAUAUUGUAUGUAUCAUGGGAGCACCAGUUUUCUCAAUGAUGUGAUAUCUCUAUGGCUAAUCAAACAAUCCAAAUUGGAUUAGUCAAAUAUGAAUAAACUAACAAAAGGAGAUUCAUUUCGUGGGUCAGUGAUGUAAACUUAAUGGAAUCACAAACUUUGAUGUAAACCGCAUGAAAUGAUUUACUAAAUUUCUAAAUUAGAUACGACGUGAAACAACAUGAUUAUAAUUAGCUCAAAUAUGGAAGGCUGGUUGCACAGUUUGGGAUGGCACAAAGAAAUCAAAAUUAAUUUGUGCACUUUAUUCACCCGCUAGCACACAUGAAUAUAUCAAACCUAGUUACUAAUCUACUCCCAUGGGUUAAGUGAGAGCACCUCAUCUCCAAUUCCAGAACAUCUCCGAAGUUGGCUACGACAAUGCUGCUCCAAUUUUCAUUGCAUAAUGAUAAUGAAAAUUCUUACACUCGUGUCAGUCCGUCACGUUUAGUUUUCAAAUUGUUUUUCACGAUUAUUUAAAUAUUAAAAUAUGUCGUCAUCCUUCAAGUUAGUCAUUUCAUCAACUUCCCAACUUUUAGUUGAUGGAAAAGUCUAGAUUCGCAUUUUUUAUUAUUUAUCUCCUCUACAAGGGCGACAUGUUGUGUUCAUCCAUUUAUAUUUUAUAAAAUCAUAUACUAAAGAAAAAUGAACAUGUUUUUUUUUUUUUGAGCUUGUAGGAUUAAAAUGGGGGACGGCAAUGUGUUGUGGGCUCUAUAGCCAACCUCCCUUGUCGAGGUGAAGGUAAGGGUGAUUGGCCCACACUAAGCCAUACCUGCAGGCUAUGAUUCUCGCCACCAUCAGGCAAGGGCUGCUGCGACCAUGAAGCAAUGGCCCUUGCCUUUGAAUCAAGAUAAACAUCAAGUGGUGCCUUUAUCAAAUAUCGCUCUAGUGCCGGGGAAUGUCAAUUGCAAUUUUGGGGGAGGACAAAUUGUCUGCCCGAAUAGAGACGUCAAACUAGUAGCCAAUGACCAUUGUCGGAAAGCAGAAAUUUUAGCACUUUGAAAAAGACAACCACUGGAUAGAUUUUAUGUAUCACGAGACCACCGAUUUUCUCAAUGAUGUGAUAUCUCUAUGGCUAAUCAAACAAUCCAAAUUGGAUUAGUCAAACACGAAUAAAGUAACAAAAGGAGAUUCAUUUCCUGGGUCAGUGAUGUGAAAUUAAUGGAAUCACAAACUUUGAUGUAAACCGCAUGAAAUGAUUUACUAAAUUUGUAAAUUAGAUAAGACGUGAAACAAAAUGAUUAUAAUUAGCUCAAAUAUGGAAGACUAGUUGCACAGUUUCUGAUGGCGCAAAGAAAUCAAAAUUAAUUUGUGCACUUUAUUCACCCGCUAGCACACAUGCAUAUAUCAAACCUAGUUACUAAUAUACUCCCAUGGGUUAAGUGAGAGCACCUCAUCUCCAAUUCCACAACAUUUCCGAAGUUGGCUAUGACAACGCUACUCCAAUUUUCAUUGGAUAAUUACAAUGAAAAUUCUUACACUCAUGUCAGUCCGUCGAAUUUAGUUUUCAAAUUUUUUUCUCAAUUAUUUAAAUAUUAAAAUAUGUCGACAUCCUUCAAGUUAGUCAUUUCAUUAACUUCCCAACUUUUAGUUGAUGGAAAAGCAUAGGCUGGCAUUUUUUAUUAUUUAUUUCCUCUACAGGGGCGACAUUUUGUGUUCAUCCAUUUAUUUUUUAUAAAAUUAUUUAUCAAAGAAAAAUGACUUGUUUUUUCUUCUUCUUUUUUUGAGCUUGUAAGAUUAAAAUGGGGGACGGUAAUGUGUUGUGGCCUCUAUAACCAACCUCCCUUGUCGGGGUCGAGGUAAGGUUGGUUGGCCCUCACUUGGCCAUAAGCGCAGGCUACGAUUCUCGCCACCACCAAGCAAGAGCUGUUGCAACCAUGAAGCAAGGGCCCUUGCUUGUGAAUCAUGAUAAACGUCAAGUGGUGCCUUUAUCAAAUAUCGCUCUGGUGCCGGGGGAUGUCAAUUGCAAUUUCGGGGAGGACAAAUUAUCCGCCAUCGAAUAGAGACGUCCAACUAGUAGCCAAUGACCAUUGUCAAAAAGCAGAAAUUUUAGCACUUUGAAAAAGACAACCACUGGAUAGAUUGUAUGGAUCACAAGACCACCCGUUUUCUCAAUGAUGCGAUAUCUCUAUGGCUAAUCAAACAAUCCAAAUUGGAUUAGUCAAAUACGAAUAAAGUAACAAAAGGAGUUUCAUUUCCUGGGUCAGUGAUGUGAAAUUAAUGGAAUCACAAACUUUGAUGUAAACCGCAUGAAAUGAUUUACUAAAUUCAUAAAUUAGAUAAGACGUGAAACAAAAUGAUUAUAAUAAGCUCAAAUAUGGAAGACUGGUUGCACAGUUUGUGACGGCACAAAGAAAUUAAAAUUAAUUUGUGCACUUUAUUCACCCGCUAGCACACAUGCAUAAAUCAAGCCUAGUUACUAAUCUACUCCCAUGGGUUAAGUGAGAGCACCUCAUCUCCAAUUCCACAACAUUUCCAAAGUUGGCUACGACAAUGCUGCUCCAAUUUUCAUUGGAUAAUGACAAUGAAAAUUCUUACACUCGUGUCAGUCCGUCACAUUUAGUUUUCAAAUUCUUUUUCUCGAUUAUUUAAAUAUUAAAAUAUGUUGUCAUCCUUCAAGUUAGUCAUUUCAUUAACUUCCCAACUUUUAGUUGAUGGAAAAGUCUAGGCUGUUAUUAUUUCCUCUACAAGGGCGACAUUUUGUGUUCAUCAAUUUAUAUUUUAUAAAAUUAUUUAUUAAAGAAAAAUUAACUUGUUUUUUUUUUUUUUUUGAGCUUGUAAGAUUAAAAGGAAAGGGAGACGGCAACGUGUUGUGCCCUCUAUAGCCAACCUCCCUUGUGGGGGUCGAGGUAAGGGUGGUUGGCCCUCACUUGGCCAUAAGCGCAAGCUACGAUUCUCGCCACCACCAGGCAAGGGCUGCGACGAUCUGAAGCAAGGGCCCUUGCCUAUGAAUCAAGAUAAACGUCAAGUGAUACCUUUAUCAAAUAUGAUUUAUAUUAUUGUAACUCAAUGAACCAAAAAAAUGAAACUCAAUGAAACCAAAAAGAAAAACAAAGUUCUUGGUAGACCUUGGAAUCAAACUACAAAAUAGGACACGUUCUAGGGUCGGUUUUUGGACAAAUAGGGUAGGUUACAAGUUUCAAAAACUGAUAAUUAGUUCUACCAGAGCACGUUCUAAAUUUCAAAUUCUAGGUUUAGAAUACGUUCACCCCUUAAAUUCCUUAUUGAUUGUACAUCAGAAUAUAAUAUAGUGUAAUACAAUAAUUAUGGGCAAGAAAUGAGAUUUCGUUAAUAAAGUAAGUGCUAAAAUUACAACAUCAGAUGACUAAAAGAUUUAUUUACGAUUGAGAUUAAAGAGAUGCUCUUGAGAGUGUCCUCCAGAGAAAUGCAUAAGGACGGUGAUUUGAACCUAGGAGCAUGUACGGAUCGCUUGGUGAUUUGUUUUAUAUGCCAGUUCACUUUAUAAGUAAAGCCAACGACUUCUGGAAAAAAUAUAUCAGUACAGGCCAAGCCCCAACCUGUUCCUUGAACACCAUGAGAAACUCGUCAUUUCUCCUUGCGCUUGUUCUCUCAAUCCUUCACUUGUCUUCUCAACCUUCCGCUGCAACUCGCACUACUUUGAGCAGAGGCGACUCUCUCUCCAUUGAUAACCCGGAUGACAUCCUCAUCUCAAAAUCUGGUGUCUUCUCCGCCGGUUUUUACCCCGUCAGCAAGAGCGCUUACUGCUUUGCCAUCUGGUUCAGCCAUCCACCAUGCAGCAGCCAGAAUUGCACCGUAGUUUGGAUGGCAAACCGCAAUGAACCUGUCAACGGGAGGUACUCUAAGCUUUCUAUUAAAAAGAACGGUGAUCUCGUGCUAACCGAUGCCAGCCACACUGUUGUUUGGGCCAUAGAUACAGCCUCAUUCUCAUGGUCGAAAACACCGGUUCAUCAGUUACGACUCCUAGACUCUGGUAAUCUUGUUCUUCUUGACAGAGAAGGUAACGUCCCACUCUGGCAAGCUUCAACUACCCGACCGACGUGCUCCUCCCUGGACAGAACCUCACCUGGAACACACCACUCGUUUCCUCUCGGAGCAACGGCAGCUUCUCUUCUGGCUAUUACAAGUUAUACUUCGACAACGACAACGUCCUUUGUCUCCUCUUCGAUGGACCUUUGAUCUCAAGAGUAUACUGGCCAGACCCGGCCUAUGUGAGUUGGGAAGUUGGAAGAACAACCAACAACUAUAGUAGAGUUGCAGUGCUCGAUUCCAUGGGGAAUUUCACUUCAUCUGACAAUCUGACGUUCCUGACGUCGGAUUUUGGCAAGAAAACACAACGUAUGUUAAAGGUGGAUCAUGAUGGUAAUGUAAGGGUCUAUAGUAGAGAAAAAGAUGAAAAGUGGGUUGUAACAUGGCAAGGCUUAUCUGAGUCAUGUGCUGUUCAUGGGACUUGUGGACCGAAUAGCGUUUGCAGGUACAGCCCGAGGGAGGGGAGGAGUUGCUCUUGCCCUCCGGGAUAUGUGUGGAAUAAUGACACUGAUUGGACUCAGGGAUGUGCGCCCAAAUUCGAGAGCUUCUGCAACCCGGGUUCUGAUGCUCAUGUCGAUUUCCUGCGUUUGCCUCACCAUGAUUUCUAUGGAUAUGAUAAGGACUAUUUUCCAAACACUACCCUGGCGUCGUGCAAGAAAAUGUGCGCAGAUCUUUGCAAUUGUAAAGGCUUUCAAUACAAAUUCAACGGGGAAAAAGGGAGCUUCGACUGUUUCCCCAAGAUACAGCUGUUAAAUGGAUAUAUUUCCUUCUCAUUUAUUGGGAGCACUUAUUUGAAACUACCAAAAGCUAAUCUCUCUUCUUAUCAAAUACCCAGCAAAGGAUUCGACCCACUGCCCUGUCCCCCAAAAGCUCAAGAAGUUGUCACUUAUCUGAAAGGCCACCAGAAUUCGACACUUGAGAUCUUGCUCAUUUUUUGCAACAGCGCUGGCUGGAGUGGAAAUUGUUGUAGUCUUCCUCACAUGGUCCUUUUUGGUCAGGACUAAUCCUGACAAACGGGGAGGUUAUGCAAAGGGAUAUCGUCUUGCGGGGACAGGAUUUACAAGGUUCACAUAUGCCGAGCUAAAGAAAGCGACCAGGAACUUUAACAAAGAGAUUGGAAGAGGAAGUGGGGGGAUUGUGUACAAGGGUGUCCUGCCAGAUCAUGGGGAAGCAGCGGUCAAGCUGCUAAACGAGGAAAAUCAAGGAGAAGAUGAGUUCCUGGCUGAAGUGAGAACAAUUGGGAAUCUCAAUCACAUGAACCUGAUUGCGAUGUGGGGUUACUGCGUGGAGGGAAGGCACAGGCUCUUGGUUUAUGAGUUCAUGAAUCACGGUUCCUUGGCAGAAAACCUUUCUUCCGAUCAACUCGACUGGAAGAAGAGGUAUGAGAUCGCGGUGGGAUCAGCCAAGGGGCUUGCUUAUCUUCACGAGGAGUGCUUGGAAUGGGUUCUCCAUUGCGACGUGAAGCCACAGAACAUACUCCUUGAUUCUGAUUACCAACCAAAGGUGGCCGAUUUUGGGCUCUCUAAGCUACUUAACAGAGAGGGCUUAAGAAUACAAGUUUCUCAAGAAUCAGAGGAACGAGGGGUUACAUGCCAAUCACCUCCAAAGUGGAUGUGUACAGCUAUGGAAUCGUUCUAUUGGAGAUGCUGACAGGAGGGAACGCGGUCGCAGGCCAUGCCAUCCGCGGAGAAGUAAAAGGCGAGAACAAAACGUUGACUUCUUGGGUGAGAGAGAAGAUGAAACCAGGAGUGCCCACGGAGACAUGGAUAAGGGAAAUUGUCAAUCCAACCGUAAAGGGACCUUACGACAUCAAGAAGAUGGAAGUUUCGGUUGCGGUGGCACUUCAGUGUGUGGAGGAGGACAGAGAUGCGAGACCCACCAUUAGCCAGGUGGUUGAGAUGCUUCUGCGCCAUGAAAGUGAGGAUCUGUAAUUCGGAUACGAGCAUAACUGCUCGGGUUCCAACUCUAAAUAACCGGACAGUGGCAAAGGUAAUAGUCUUUGGAUGUAUAAACCUAGGAAAUGUAAGUGUUUAGGAACAAGUCUCUGUUUAUCUCUGUUUUAUCUUCUUGGAAAUCUAGGAAAGAUCAUUUAGCAUGAUAGUUCCCUGUAAGAAACAUCAUUCAGCAACAAGGACGCUAUUGCUCUUUUGUGGAAUGUUCACCUUUGGUGCUUAUGAUCCAGUCUUAUGAAUCCUCGGUUGAUCUGACAUGGUUUAAAUCGGUAUACGUAGAGGUGCCUUAGGCUCACGAGAUGGUACACUUCUUAAUAACAAAUCAUUGACUAGAUAAAAUAGUUACAAUCUAUAAUCUCCUUUUCAGACAUCAACUUUUAAACAUAACUAUCGCCAUACACUUCUCAUUCUUUUCGGCCGUGCUUUGCUACGAGCUAGUCUAAUACCUAAACCGAAGCAGUUCACUUGGGCUAGGGAACUUGACAUUAAUCUUGAGAGGUCAAGCCAUCAAAAAAUAGUUUGAAAUUGUUGACACCAAAGUUGAUUUGGUCAUUGAUACGCACGUGCUUGGCAGUUAGCAUGAGAAUGAGAAAUAUGUGGCAUAUGAGCAGGGAUAAGCAGCAAUCACGUGUAACAAAUGGGAUAACUUUCGUCCCUCGAGCACUUCGAGUUAUGCUCUUUAAAAGCUGCGUUAUUAUGUGGAAAUAAAGUGAUAACUCUAACGAUAUAAAAAAUGAAUAAGCCGUCUACUCAGUUUAAAUAAAUUAUUUGAGUUUCUAUUGCUGUUUACUUGAAUUAAGAAUUUUCCACUUCUUCCGUACAUAGCACGGGCCAGAUUACUGUACAUACAGGGUAAUCUUAACAUAUCAUUUUGAGAAUAAACACACUACAUAUUGUAUUUGCAAGGCACUGAGGAAAAAUCAAACGGAGAGAAAGUUCACGAGCCUCAUGGGUAGGAGAAAGAACAACACACUCCGAUGCUACAGACAAAGCGUAUAGGAGUGGUUGAUGCUACAGACAAAGCGUAUAGGAGUGGUUUAUUUUGAAAAAUGACUUUGUAUUUUAUAUAUAAACAUCUCAGUACAAGCCAGUCCUCAACUGGAACGCCAUGAGAAACUCGUCAUUCCUCCUUGCGCUUGUUCUCUCAAUCAUUCACUUGUCUUCUCAACAUUCCUCUGCAACUCGCGCCACUUCGCGCAUUGGCAACUCUCUCUCCGUUGCCAAUCCAGACAACAUCCUCAUCUCAAAGUCCAGCGUCUUCUCCGUAGGCUUUUAUCCCAUCGGCAAGAACGCUUACUGCUUUGCCAUAUGGUACAGCAAUCCACCGUGCAGUGGUCAGAAUUGCACGGUAGUUUGGAUGGCAAACCGCGAUGAACCUAUCAAUGGGAGAUACUCUUAAUCUUUUGGUUCAAAAGAAUGGCUAUCUUGUGCUAACCGACGCCAAGGACGCUAUUGUUUGGGCAACAGAUACGGCCUCACUCUUCUGGUCAAAGACACCAAUUCGUCAGUUACAGCUCCUAGACUUUGGUAAUCUUGUUCUUAGUGACAGAGAAGGCAAGGUCCCGUUGUGGCAAAGCUUUGACUACCUGAUCGAUGUGCUCCUCCCCGAACAAAACCUCAUUGGGAACACACCGCUUGUUUCCUCUCGGUGCAGCCGCAACUUCUCUUCUGGCUGGACCCGGGCCAUGUGUUGCAAAAUAUAGAGGAGGAGGAGGAGGAGGAGGAGCAUUGGGGGAAGAAUACGUAACACGGUUUGUUGCGAUCUAAAAAUAAUAAAUUCGAGAAAGUGAUAACAAAAAGAAAUAGUAAUUGGAGGUGAGGUACAGUUAGCUAAAUCACCUUAAGACGAUUAGUUUUCUCACUAUUUGUUGGGUUUACUAGAAAAUCAAGAUGGCUAAUAACAGUGAUGUCCAGAACGUUCCUGAAGAUGAUCCUUUGGUUGUUUCAACCGGUGAGGUUCAAACCUUGUGGCGUGGUGUUAUGGCAGCAAAUGCUGCGAGCCUUCAGGCUAAAACAAUCUACGGUGGUACAACAUGCCCAGGACUUUUUUAUAACAAUACAAACCAAAUGGUGUGUAGUCCAAUUUUUGGAGAGAUGGUUCAAUGGGAGCAUCCAUUUGAAACUACCAAAAGCCAAUCUCUCUUCUUAUCAAAGACCCACCAAAGGAUUCAAUUCCCUGUCCUGUCCCCCAAAAGUUCAAGAAGUUUUCCUGUAGAGGACUUAUCUGAAAAGCCAGAUGAAUUCGACACUCAACAUCUUGUUCACUGUUGCUAUGGUGCUAGCUGGAGUGAAAAUUGUUGUAGUCUUCCUCACACGGUCCUUGAUCGGGACUGAUCCUGACAAACUUGGAGGUUAUGCAAAGGGAUAUCAUCUUGCGGGAGCAGGAUUCACAAGGUUCACGUAUGCCGAGCUAAAGAAAGCGACCGAGAACUUUAGCAAAGAGAUUGGAAGAGGAAAUGGGGGAAUUGUGUGCAAGGGUGUCUUGCCAUAUCAUGGGGAAGCAGCGGUCAAGCUGCUAAACGAGGCCAAUCAAGGAGAAGACGAGUUCCUGGCCGAUGUGAGAACAAUUGGGAAUCUCAAUCACAUAAACCUGAUUAUGAUGUGGGGCUACUGCGUGGAGGGAAGGCACAGGCUCUUGGUUUAUGAGUUCAUGAAUCACGGCUCCUUAGCAGAAAACCUUUCUUCCUAUCAACUUGACCGGAAGAAAAGGUAUGAGAAUUGCGGUAAGAUCAGCCAAGGGGCUUGCUUAUCUUCAUGAGGAGUGCUUGGAUUGGGUUCUCCAUUGCGACGUGAAGCCACAAAACAUACUCCUCGAUUGUGAUUACCAACUAAAGGUGGCCGAUUUUGGGCUCUCUAAGCUACUUAACAAAGAGGGCCUUUAGAAUACGAGUUUCUCAAGAAUUAGAGGAACAAGGGGGUUACAUGGCUCCUGAAUGGAUUUACAAUAUGCCCAUCACGUCUAAAGUGGAUGUGUAUAGCUAUGGAAUCAUUCUGCUCGAGAUGCUAACCGAAGGAAACCUGGUCAUAGGCCAUGCCAUUGAUGGAGAAGUAAAAGUGGGGAACAAGGAGAUUAAUUACCUGGGUAAGAGAGAAGAUGAAACUAGGAGUGGCCAUGGAGACAUGGAUAAGGGAAAUUGUGGAUCCGACUGUAAAGAGACUUUACGACAUCAAGAAGAUGGAAGUUUUGGUUGCGGUGGCGCGUCAAUGUGUCGACGAGGACAAACAUGCGAGACCCACCACGAGCCAUGUGGUUGAGAUGCUUCUACGCCAUGAAAGUGAAAAUCUAUAAUUAGAUACCAGCAUAACUGCUUGAAUUCUAGCUCUAAAUAAGUGGACAGUUGCAAAGGUAAUAGCCUUUGGUUGUACAAACCUAGGAAAGAUAAUUUAGUAAGUGUUUAGGAACAAGUUCCUGUUUAUCUUUAUUUUAUCAUCUUGGAAAUUUAGGAAAGAUCAUUUAGCAUAAUGGUUCCUAGUAAGAGAGAUCAUUCAGCAAUGAGGACGCGAUAGCUCUCUUGUUACCGUUUGUCUUUGGUGCUUCUAAUCCAAUCUUAUGAAUAGAAGGUUGAUUAGACAUGGUUUAAAUAUUCAUUUUUAAAUAUUCAUUUAUUUUGCAAAAAUAUAAAAAAAUAUUCACCAAAUGGUACACUUCUUCUUAAUAACAAAUUAUUAACUAGAUAAAAUAGUUAAAAUUUCAAAUUUCUAUUGAUAUCUGAAUUUUUGUCGACGUUUUAAAUAUUUAUUUAUUUUGUAGAAAUAUAAAAAAAAUUAUAAAAAGGUAAAAAGCAAAAAAAAAAUGAAAAAAGAAAUGAAUGAAAUGAAAUGAGCGAGGGAGGAACAACAAGCUGUGACGCAAGCAAAUCCACGCCUUCUAGAAGGCUGAGCUGGCGUGAGGGAUGAGGAGGCCUAACCGAAAAAGAUUCGGGGAGAGGCGGGGGGGAGCGUGCGUGAGCGGGCGAGGAGGCUAACCCAAAAAGAAGAAGACCAGGUUGCAGAGAGGGAGGAGGGGGCAGAAGUUUUUCUUUGGCUAAAGAAGAGAGGAUCGUUCGGCAGGAGAGGGCAUUAUUCGGCCAUUAAAGAAAGAAAAAGAGCGAGGGCUUUUCUUUUUCUAGAGGCGCCGCUCUCAGUGCGACCGCCACGAAGAACGUUCUCUCGGGUCCAGUCCAUGUUCGUCCUCAUGAGCGACGUUUCCCAAACUCUCCUCACACCGGCCGGCCAUUUUCUUAAGCUUCGCCAAUGAACAAGCAGCAGUUGCAACGCCACAUCUAAUCAGGUAAGCAUCUCGCUCCCCCUAGAUAUCCUGUAUUUUCUUCAUGCCAUUGAGGAAUUAAGAACAAAAAUUUCAAUCUAUAAAAUCAUGGUUUAAUCUUGUGAAACGAGACAUAUUUGUGAGGGACGAUGUUAUUUGGAGUUUGAUAUGUCAUUUUUAGACCGAAAAUCAUAUCAAAAUGGUAUCGGAGGCUUGUUCUUGUACUACACGUAAUCAAUUUGGCUGUCAAAAUGAUAUCUUAGGAAUGAUAUCUAUUUGAGAAGACAAAGAUUUGCCUCCCUAAUUUGAAAUCGAUUGUUUUUUAUGCGGAAUAGCGACGAUUCAACACGCAGGUUCUUCUCUUCUAUAGCCCUCGGAUCCUAACUCGAUGAGACUGCCUCUCAUGCUUCCUGGUGAUAGUGUGUCCGUCGAAGUAUGAGGGUUAGAAGAGGGACUUUAGCGCUAUUUAAAAAAGUUUUUAACUAAACUCUCUCAUCACGAGCCGAUCCAAGCCCAACUCGGCCCACAUAAGCUAGGUUCAUAUUCGACUAUUAAGAAACCUUAUACCCUACCUUAUUAGGCCAACCCCGUAAAACGGUAAAUCACAAUCACAAUUAAUGACAACCUUAGGAAAACUAUUGCAUUCUCUCACUUGGACUAUAUUAAUUGAGACUAUACUGCAUGUGCGCACCUUUAUAUUGAUCUAAAGACAAUUCUUAAUAGUCAAUCAUAGUCCAUAGAGUCUCAAACACUGAAUCAUAGCAAUAACUACAUGUACACACAUAGAAUCUUCCAUGAUUACAGUUGAUUUCAACUUUAUUGAUAUUGACCUCAAUAUGAUUGUGUGGUGAAUGGAUAAUACAUCAUGAAAAGUAAUAACUUAUGAGUCAUCCCCUUUGACGAUCACUAUUUUCUUACUUUAAGUGUCACAAAAAACCGAAUGUGCCACUAGAGAAUAUUUUUAUAGUUUUGAUGAACCCACAUAUGUUUUAUCUUUAUGAUUAACCUUUCUUUAUAUGUAACCAAGACAUAUGCUCAAAGUUGACAACCAAAUGCCAUCAGCCUUCACUCAAGACUUACACAAUACCUUGAGAUUUUCAUUACAUAUAAUCAACUUAACAUAAUGACACACAUUAAUGGACACUUUAUUGAAUAUGAAAGAGUCUAUACAUGUUAAAAUGUUACUGAAUAUAACAAAACAUAGAGGUAAGCUUUAUUAAAGCAAAAUCAAAACAACUCCCACUAAACAGCAUCAUCCAAUGAUGUUUCUUAGCCCAUAUUUAUGACAUAUUGCUCAAGUACACAAGAGUAAAGGUCUUUAGUUAGUGGGUCUGCAACCAUAUUAUCUGUAAAAAUAUGCUCUACUAUAACAUCAUCAUUCUCUAUAUUUUUUAUGGCAAAAAACUUGACUGCCAUGUGUUGACUUUUAUUGUUGUUGAUAAACAACACUGAAGAAUCAUUGUCUUGAUACAACUAUAUAGGUCUAUUCAUAAAAUCAAAUAUGGUCAACUCUUUAAUGAGGUUUCGAAGUCAAAUAUCCCAAAUAACGGUUGAAAAGCAUGGUACAAACUUCGUUUGCAUGGUAGAGGAUAAUAUAGAAUUAUGUUUUUCACUUUUUCAUAAUAUUGCACCUUCUGGUAAUAUAAAGAUAUAUUAUGUUGUCGACUUCUUAUCAUCCUAACAGCCAGCAAAGUUUGCAUCCGAAUACCCUAUUAGCUCCAGGUUAUGAACAUGUCUAUAAACUAGCAUAUAGUCGUUUAUCCUUUUAAGUACCUCAAAACCUUAUUGGCAGCAAUUCGGUGAUCAUGUCAUGAAUUUGAUUGAUAUUAACUCAAAAUUUUGUUGCAAAACCAAGAUAUGUUCUAAUACAAACUUAAGCAUACAUGAUACUUCCUAGUGCACUAGCAUAAGGUACAUCCUUCAUUUGGGUUUUCCCAAAAUCUAAAUGAGGACGAUGUAAUAGACUUACUUUAUUACCCUUAACAAUAGGAGUAAUUCCUAACUUACAAUGUUGCAUACUAAAUCUUUUCAAAAUACAAUCAACAUAUGCAAUCUGAGAUAAAUCUAACAUAUAGCGAGAAAAUCCCUAUAUAUCUCAAUGCCAAGGACAAAAAAUGCCUCAUCAAGGUCUUUCAAGUUAAUAUUCUUUGACAUCAUUUACUUUGUCUCAUGCAAUAAUCCAAUACCGCUGCUUGCAAGUAAGAUGUCCACAUAAAGUAUGAGAAAAAUAAAUUUCCUCCCAUUAACCUUGCAGUAUAUGCAUUCAUCUACUUUAUUCUCAACAAAACCAAAAGAAGUGAUAACAUUGUGAGACUUCAAGUUGAUUAAGGACAAGAAACAACAUUUAUAAAUGUCACUAGAUCGACCACGCAGUAGAUAUUGUAAUCAUACUCUCACAGAUAGACUAUAUAGUCUAGUGGUAUAAUCGAUUGUCUCUGCAUAAUAGAUCUCUUGAGUGGAGCUACAAUCACUCCAUCCUUUACCUAAAGGGCUUGACAAACUUCAUCAUGAAUUGUAUUAAUAACAAUAUCUUGAACCUCAAUAGAUUUAGUAUGUGGUGUAAGAGACUCCACAAUCGUAUGUAUAGGCAAAGAAAACGACACAAUGAUCUCUAUUUUUAAUAGUCCAAGAGAAGCUAUCCUCUACGAUUACAUCAAACUCUAUAAAAUUUUGUUGUCUAUGAUUCCAUAAUUUUUGCACCUCAUCAGAACCAUUAUAAAGAAUAUUUAUAUUUAUCUUAAUCUCGGCAUUAAACAAGACACAAUUUUAUACCAUCAACACUUUCAUCAUCCUUUUAGCAAUGCAGUUAGCUGGUAAAUCAUUUUCAAAUGUUCCUAAAUAGAACACUUCAUGGAUAAUGAACAUAUUUAAUUGCUCUUUUUCAUAUGCUUUCUAGUUCCAUAUCGUCAACAAUGAAAUUGCCAACUUAUUCUCAGUAAGAGCAAUAUGAACAUCUACCAACUUCAUCUUAAAUAGAAAAUCCUCUUUCACUACUUAAAGUUUGAUCCAGUAAGAACCUCAAUCACAAUGGAGUUUCCAUUUAAAAAGAAGAUGACUUAAUAACAAGCAAUUUAUACAAUUGGUAUCAUGUAAGUAUUGUGUAACUUGAAAAGCAUAUAAGUACACAUCCUGAAAGUUAUAUGCAUCAUUAUAUAAACACCUUUAGGUAGAAUACAUGAUAUGCAAUUGUAUACUCUCUACAUGACAGUGAUCAUGAGAAUUUAUUCUAACCUUUUGCAAAUUCACCACAUUUGAGUGUAUGAACUAUUAGAGUCAAUCACUCCUCAACCAUAUGUUAUACAUGCAUCCCUCCAUGAAUUAAUAAAUAAUCAUUUCCUUUGGGAGUAUAACUACAUAUUAUAAUAUGAGACAUCCCAUCAUAAUAUGAGACCAAUAUCUCUCAAAUCUAAUCAAGUGUGCCACUUUAGCAAUUAUAACCCAAUUUUUUUUUUUAACGGGAAGUUAUAACCCAAUUGAAUCAUUGAAACUUUUUUAUAUCAGUGAUAUAAACUUUAUGCUUCACAUUUACCUUAUACAUAUGAUUUUAGACUUGAUGACAGGGGGGCAAUUUGUCACUAAAAUCACAUGUCAUGUCAAUUAUAUAGCUCCAUUCAUUUAUACAUGUUGAACCUUAUACAUGUUAUUAAUGAAUCAAUGCUUUAUACAUUCUUUAUGUGAUGAUAUUCAUGUAAGCUUGCAAAGUAUUUCCAAAAUUAUAGAGAAAUACAUGAAAAAUACCCAAAAAAUACCCCCAAAAUCCAUGUAUUUAGGGUUCCACAUGCAUUUUCAUAUCCUUAAAAAUAUCAAACAUGUAAAAUAUAGUAUAGAGAAUUUAUAUAUGAGUAUGUUGGUGCAAACCAUAUGCCGAACGGAGGCUCUACACGCCCUCACAUGUUGCUGGAGUGUGCGGCACAUGAACUACAUGUGCUGGCGUGCUUGAACCAAUUCGGCUGCUAGUUCAAUCGGGUUCAAUCGGUCCAACCUGUAACACCCCGAACCCUUCGCAGGUUGUCACCAGCGCCAAUGUUACACCUUAUUACCUUUUUGUCUUUCGAAGAAGUGUCCUAAUUUGCGUACACAUUUUUUUUUCUUUUAAAACAAAACGGUCCUAGCGCAACUCAUUAGCAGAAGCAAUUUAAAACAUCACCGUCUCCCCCCUACCAACCAUGAUACAAAUACACACCACUAAUCACCAUAAUUUUAUAAACAAGCCACGACACUUUAUUUACAUAUAUUUCAAGAUGGGAUUCCCUUCGGGUCGGUACAACAAAAAGGAAAAGCUAGGACUCAGCCAUGUCCAGCCUAAAACCUCAAAAAGAACCCUCGACCCUCAACAUCAUACGUGCACAACCCCCAUCAAAAGUGUCGGCUAUCUAUAUCCAAAAAGAUCCAGCUCCUACUCAUCGUGCACGAGUCUCACACCCAACCCGGUGCAUCAGGCGAUGGCGGCGACAACAUCCCUCGCAUCGCUCCAUCCCGACGAACGUGCACAGAUAUGAACUCCUGAAUGACAGGGCCCCCAGCCAGGCCUAUGUCGUACAUCACUAGACAGCGUACUCGAAUAAAAGUCAAUCCGGGAACAAAGGGACAGUCUAUCUCAACACACUCGACCUCUACAUCGGAUGGUAGACCGUAAAACACCCCCCGCGUGACGGCAGGAAGCGGCAUACUGCUAAUCUGAAAUGUGGGUCCCCAAAGGGGUGAGUACAACCACUCAAUAGAUAGGGAAAUCCAAUAACAACUCAAUGCAUCAUGCAAUCAUACAUGCAUUGCAGGCGCUACUUACCUUGAAGCCAUGCGCAUACUAUCAUGCAUCAUCAUAUCAAUUCAUAACACAUUCAUGUGUAUCAUCAUCGUAUCAUACAUGUCAUCAUCAUCAUGGCAUCAUUACAUCAUACAUGUCAUCAUCAUCAUGACAUCAUCUCAUUACACAUGCCAUAUCAUAUGUCAUCAUCAUUAUCAUCAUCAUGCACAUCAUCAUGCAUAUCAUAUCAUGGGUGAUCAUCAUUAUUUCACAUCACAUGUCAUCAUCAUCAUCAUCAUGCAUAUCAUCAUGCAUAUCAUAUCAUGGGUGAUCAUUAUUUCACAUCACAUAUCAUCAUCAUCAUCAUCAUCAUCAUCAUCAUGCAUAUCAUAUCAUGGGUGAUCAUCAUUAUUUCACAUCACAUAUCAUCAUCAUCAUCAUGCAUAUCAUCAUGCAUAUCAUAUCAUGCAUAUCAUGUCAUGAUUUAAUUUCCACUUUUGGAUUUCAAUCUUGAUCACCACAUCACCCAUUUCUCAAUUCAUCAAUUUUAUCAUCCCCUCGGGCAAAGACCUCCGAGGCUUCCGGCAUUCAGCCUCCCAGGCCACCGGGCAUCCGACCCCCCACAUUCCAGUCAUCUCGCAUCUCAACUAGCAUCACGAGGCAUUCCCUUCGGGCAAAAACCUCCGACAGGGCUUCCGGCAUUUACACUCCCUGGCCGAGCAUCCCGCACCCCAAAUCCUGGCAUCGCGAGGCAUUCCUUUCGGGCAAAGACCUCCAACAAGGCUUCCGGCCCCCCACAUUCCGGGCAUCCUGAAUCUCCCAGGGAAUCUGGCAAUGCAUCUUUGUACACUCCGGCCUCAUCCUCCACCACAACCACUUACUCACUUAUCAUUAUCCACAUUUACCAUUAUUUUGAUCUCAAUUUAACAUGGCAUAUGGCGUGACAUCAAACAAGUCAUACUUGGCAUAGGAUUCACACAUGCAUCACAACUCAAUGUCAUACAUAUACCAAGACUUUAUCAUAUGCUACAAGAUAAACUUAAUGGAAUUUAUGGCCAAUAAAAUAAUCCAUUUUAUUUUAUUAUUUAUUUAUUUAUUUUUAAUAAAUAAAUAUUAAAUUCAAUAUCUAUAAAUUCCCAAAAUUAUAAAAUUCAAGCAAUCAUUAAAAAAACCAAUAGGAUGACAAUUUCAUGCAAAAUUCAUGGCCAAAUUGAAUUUCACACAAUUUCACAAUUUCUACAAUAUAGCACAUAAUAUUCGGAUAAUAACCAGAAUGCACAGUUCCGAAUAAAUUCGAUUAAAAUAUCCACACGGCCUCCAAAAAUUACAAAAUUUUACAGAAUGAUAGCUAAGACAUUUUCGUACAACUUUCAUGAAGAACUCCAAGCCAGAUUCUUUUUAUAUUAUUUUUUACAACCUCACGAAGCUUCUGGACCCAUUACCGCAUCGUCCAGUGCACAUAUCACCGAAAUAUUGAGAUUUCACCUACCAUUUCUCUUUCGUUUCCUCUGAAAUUUAGAUAUGUUAUACAUCAAGGUAUCCUAUACAAGUUUCAUGAGAGAUCUAGGUCAAAUAACCAGAGUAUAGUCAUCAUCUAUGUCCAUGAAGUCUCAGGUAUCUCGGAAUACAACACCAGAAUCAUCAUCUUCAAGAUCUAGUCGAUUUACUAGGCUAUACUUGUUCAUUUCACUUAAAAUUUGAGUAUGUUGUAGUUUAAGAUGUCUCCUACAACUUUCAUGAAGAAUCUGAAGUGAUAUUCUCAACAAAAACCAACAUGCAACCAUGAAUCCGGCAAGAGGUCAGUAAAAACUCUCCAGAUCUGAGGUCUCCGUAUAAUAAGACUUUAACCCCUCAAAUCUCCAUCAUUUUUCACGAAAUUUCAGUAUGUUGUAGUUCACGAUGUUAGCUACAACUCUCAUGAAGAAAUAAAAGCCAAAAUCUGACUCUAAACACACAUGCAAGCUCAAAAAAGUUACUGACUACACGGUCCGAGCAAGAACAGUCAUGCGGUUUAAGAACAAGCCAACCAUACCUCGGUUUUUCUCACUUAAACGCCCAAAAUCUAACAUGCAACCAACAUACAAGCAUGCAAGAGAAGCUAUAGGAUUCCCACUUGCCUCUAGGAUGGAUGGUCGACGGCGUACAGCGGUGUACACGGCGGACGGACGGCGGUUUCCCUCCUCUCUCUCGGCCGCUCCUCCUCUCUCUCGCACACCUCUCUCUCUCUCGUUGGGCGAGCAAAUGGCCGGCCACCCUUCUCUCUCUUCCCUUUUAUUUCCCCAAUUUCUCAUGAUUAGCAAUCAUGAGAUUGCCUAAAAACCAACCAAUGCAUGGCCUUCCCCUUUGCCACUUGUCACAUUGAAUUUUGAAUUGAAUUUGGGCUUCUUGGGCUUGGGCCUCUAUGGCCGGCGACUACUCCUCCCUUGGGCCUCUAUUGGGCCGGUCGACUUCCCCUCUUGGGCCCCUCAUCUUGGCCCAUUAAAGGCUUAGGCCAAAUGGGCUUAAGGCCCAUUCGAAAAUUAACCCCUUUUUCCCUUCUUUUUUUUUUUUUGAAUUUCUUCUAUAAAUAUUUUUCAAUUUCAAUUUUCAUCUUGGCCAAAGUCUUGGGGCAUUUUGGUUAUUGAAAUUUAAUUUAUAAAUCAUAUGGCCAAGCAUAAUUUAUUAAUCUAUCAAAUUUAAAUUCUCGCAAUCAUACACACAAAUCAUCUAAUUAAAAAGGCUAAUGGCUAAAGCAUAGGCCAUGGAAAUCUUAUCACAUAAUUAGAGACUUUAACACACCUUAUGGCUUGGCUUUGAAUUUUGGGAUGCCACACAACCGGCCAAUGAUCCAAUCGAGUCAGGUCACCCAGUCAACUCGGGUCAGGUCAAUUGCCAAACUGGGUCAAGUUAGCUCGGUAAAACCUAGUCGAGUCAACCCGGCUAGGUAAUGACGUCAGCUCUUGCGAUGUAGUGGUCAAGUCAGCGAGGUGACGUCAUUGAUGAGGUCACCUACUGCCUUAAGCGGUUAUGGGCCCAUGUGUGCAAGCACGUGAGCACUCGCUAAAGCUGCCGCCAUGCGUGCAGGUGCGUGACAAUGCAUUCGGCCUCUUAUGGAGGUGUGUAACCCACCAAAAUGCUCGUCUCGAUGAAAGGAGUUCAAAUAUGUGAUUUAAAUUCACUUUUACUAGUCUAAAAAUCACAAAAAACGAGCAAAAACGACCUAAAGCCAUGUGAAAUCUGAGAUUCUCAUGGGCAUCCCAUUUGGCCUUCGCUAGAGGUGUGCCACCCAUCAAAAUGCUUGGCUCAACAAGACAAAUCGGAAUAUGUGAUCGAAAUUAAGUUUCAUCGGACAAAAUUUUCAAAAUGGGCCAAAUUCCCUAUGUUCGAAUUCUAUGGUAUGCCAACUCUGAUACCAAAUAUUGGCCGUCGAAACAGCAUCUUAGGAUCAACAUAACUAGAAACUCGAACAUAUUGGAGCAGAAUAUGUAGAUUUACGUACCUAAUUUGGAAUCCAUCAUUCUUUAUUCGAAAUAGCAACAAUUUCGACGCUCAGGUUUUUCUCCUUUAUAACUCUCAAAUCCUGGCUCAAUGAGACUGCCCUUCAUGGCUUCCUUAUGUGAGGUGAUAGUGUGUUUGUCAGAGUAUGAGGGUUAGAGAAUGGACCUUAAUGCUAUUUAUAGAAUUUUCAGCUAGACCUUCUCAUCACAGGCUAGGCCCAAAUCGGCCUACACAAGCUAGGCCCAUAUUCAACUAUUAAGAAACCUUAUUCAUUACUUAUUAGAUUAAUCUUGUAAAAUGGUAAAUCAUAAUCUCAAUGGAUGCAACCCACAUCAAGAAAACUUAUACAUGAUAUACUGAAAUCCAUGCUAUCCGAUCACCAUAGAGGUUUAGUUUAAUGCUUCAUCGUUCUUGUAUUGUUGAAGGAUGCCUGACAUUUGUGUCUCUGGUUUUGUUUUUAUGCGAUUUCGUGGAAACUAAUCGUUUGUCAUCGAGUCAGCCAUGGAUGAACACCUCACCGGAGAUGCCGUUCCUUCAAUCGGAGAAGCCCAUGGUUCAAAGCCGUUCAAGUCAGCAUCUCUCUCUAUUUUAUUGUGCUUGUGUUUGUUUGUUUGCCGAGAUUGCUGGUGUUAGAGGUUUAGGUACAAUGAGAUGUUUAUUUUUGGUGUUUUAAUGGUCACUGGAAUGGCCAACUAGAAGUGAUGAAUGAUGAUCAGUCGUGUUGGCCAAUGAUGAUGUAGGACGAUGACCACCAGCUAGAUGGCAGUGGUGUCAAGUGUUUCUCGACGGCAGAGACGUAGCAAGAGUUCAGCCUCAUUGAAGGAGGAGCUAGAAGUUGAAGAUGAUGCUGGGUUGAAGGAGAUGGGCAGAAAAAGACAAAAUAGGAAAAAAAAAAGCGAAAAAGGAAAAAAAAAAAAAAAAGAAGCGAAACUAUAGAAAAAUAAAAGGGCUAAAGGGUAUUCUGUUGUGGGCAUGGCUCAUUUCAAAAUAUGGGCCCGAAAAAGAGUUAAAAAGAAAAAAUAGUUCAUAGGCUUUUAUAAUUCAUUACAAGCGAGCUUUUAGGGUUAAUGUUUUUAGCCCAACCCAUUCCAAUAGGGUUUAGGUUGAUUUAGUUGGGUCAGCUCUCUUGACCUGGUCCGAAUCCCUUUUAUAUUGAUAAAUUUUUAAAAAUUUAAAAAGGAAAAUAUUGUUAAAAAUUCAAAAAAUUGAUAAAAAAAAGUUUAAAAGCUUUAGGGAAUAAUAAAAAUUUCAAAAAAUGCGAAAAUCAAUUAAAAAAAAGGAAAUUUUAGAAAAUCAUUAAAAAUUAGAAAAUCCAAAAAUGAUAAUUUUUUUUAAAAGAAAAUAGAGGAUCCUUUGAAACUAAAACCUAGAAUUGGAUAACCUUUUAGGGCUUUACAAUAGGGAUUCUUGUUUUUCUUUGUCUUGUUUUCUUUUUUAGGGACAAUUUAGGAUGCUUGCAUAUUCUCUAUAAUGAUUAUAAUUGAUUGUGAUUUUCAAUAUUUGGAUGUAAUUUCCUUGUUUUAGAAUGGUUAGGACAAAUAUUUGAAUUUUCUUGAUAGGCUGUUAUGGCAUUAGUUAGCACAUGAUUAGAUUAAACACCGAAAGGGCAUUAGCCUUUGGGCUAACGUAAUCAAGUUCCUGAGUCCAAAAUCUCUAGUUGCGUAAAUUAUAAGAUAUCAUUUUGUAUCCUACUGGGUUUUUAGCCAAGCCCAAAAAAGCUAGUGGCAACUCUUUAGUCAAAAUUUGCAUAAAUUUAAUUAAUUAAAAAUUUGAACGCUCCAUGUCACGUAACGUAUGGGCUUGGGAGAGCUUGAGUCAAUAGAAGGCCACCAACUCGAAGUUGACAUACGCCUAAACCUAACAAACUCAUUCUCCCGUGAGGGGGGUUAGGUUGGGACAAUUUCCCUUUUAGACAUUGUUUUUAAGGUAAGUACACUAGAAGUGCAAUAAGUUGUGUACGGUGCUUAUUUUGGUGCCAAAAGUUUAUUUUUGACCACUUAAGUGCCAAAAAAUUUGAAAAACUAUCAUUUCAGUAUCAAUGUCGAUCUGGUUGGCCGAAUCCGACGUAACAGUUUUUUUUAUUAAUUUUUGAAGCCAAUGUGAAUCGCUGGAGAGUACAAUUAGCAUACAAACAACAAAACAACGCCGUUUAGCAUCUUUUCCCCUAAGUAGGAAUCCUAAAUCCCCAAGUUAAAAGAAAACUGGAAGUUCAAAACCCUAAAUCCCCAAUUUCAAUGCAUAUUUCAAUUUUCUUCCAAAAUUAUCAGCUCACUCUUGCAAAUGGAGGGUAGAAACUUUAGCAGCGGCUCACAUUCUUGCGAAAAAAACGAAUUAGAUGGUGGGUGUUAUCGUUAUUGUGGGUCACCAAGUCCGAGAAGAACAUCUUGGAUCCGGUUGAAUCUCAAGAGAAGAUUCCAUGGGUGCAGCAGAUAUAGAGAAUACUCGAAAUGCAAAUAUUUCAAAUGGAUUGGUAGAAAAUUCUCUGAUUAAGCAACAAAUAUAAUCUUAAAGUUACUUGAAGGUCGACAUCAACAUCCACCUACAUUAAUGGAUGAGUUGGAAGAUGUUGACUAAAUGCAAGCUCAAAUGAAAACUUUAACAUUUCUGGUUGACCAUUUGAAGAGGGAGGUUUCAAGGCUGAAAAUUGAAAGAAACUUUUAUCAAACAUUGAUUAUGUUGUUAUUCUCUUGUGUAGUCUAUUCAAAUGUGAAGUGAGUAAUGAGAAGAAAUUUGUAUGUCUACCAUAGUCAAAGACGUGGAAUAUGCACUUGUAUUGAAUUAUUUAUAAGUAAAGUAUGUUUUUGGUUUGCUGCAAUUUUUGUAUGAAGUAGAAAGUUUUGUUGCAAUCUAUGAUAGAAAUGGAAGGUUGGAAUUGGAAUGCAUUAGUUGUGAGCACUUAAAAAUUUUCUUGCUUAGUUGUGUAUUGUCAAUGUUUGUUUUGGUUAGUUUUUGCUACUGAUAUAAUGGUUUGCUGCAACUAUUAUUACAAACCAUGGCGAAAUUAAGGGAUGGUGGAAAAUUCAUGAUUGACUAUUCCAGUUCCAUAAGUUGUAAAUACCAAUCACUUGAGCGUCAAGUUUUUAUAAAAGUGAUCAUUUAGUUACCGUUUGUUUUUACUCUAAAUAAUGUUUGAUUAUGUUCUUUUGUUCCCCGAAACAAAAAAAGAACAGAAUUCCAUUUGAUAAAAUUUUUAUUCCCGAAAAUAGAUUUGGAACAUAAUUAGGAAAUAGAAAAAAGUAUAUUCUUAUUCCUAGGAACAAUUCUUAGAAUCAAUUCCUAUUUUUUUAUUUUCUUCUUUUUUUUUCUCUUCUUCUCUUCCUCUUUCUUCUUCUUCCCUUUGGCUAGUUGCUAGCCUCAACUAUGGCUAGCAAUCGGCCAAACACGAGCUGGCAAUCUCGCUGGAACGUCGCCAACCCAUGGCGACACCGAGCCACGACGAGGCUUGUCGACCCGAGCCUCCCCAUGGCUGUGUAAGAUCCGGCGAGGCUGAGCUUGCCCAGCCCAGCCAAGGUAAAGUCGAGCCUCACACAACCAUGGCGAGGCUCGGCCUCGCCUAGAUCUAGCGAGUCUCCGACGAGCUCACCGAACCUCGCCCAGUAGGUUGCUGGCCACCGCCGUAGCCGAUGACUGGCUACAAAGAAGAAAGAGGAAGAAGAGAAAAAGAAAAAGAGAAAAAAGAAAAUAUAUAUAAUAAAAGUAUUAAAAAAAAUUAAAAGAUACAAAAUUUUAAGAAUUUUACCAAACGCAUUUCUAUCUGAGAAUAGAAAUUUUGGACAGUUACAAAGCUCAUUCUUUUGCUUAGAAAUUGUUCCCGAGAAUUGAAUUAGAAAAAAUCAUUUCUGAUCAAAAAUUGUUCAUCGAAACAGAAUGGUUACCAAACUUGCCCUUAAGUGCUAGUCGCAAUUACAAAAUGAUCACUUGUAUUGUAUAAGUUUUUUUUUUAUUAAAAAAAACAUGUUAAUUCCAAACGUCACUUGACUUGCACCAAUCGUGGUGCAUCAUGUUGCACCAGUUAGGUUGUUGGUGCAUCUUGUUCUUGCACCAACUCAUACAAGUGUUAAUGCAACAAGAUACAUUAGCACCCAAAAUUGCUCAUGUAAGAAGAUGCAGCACCCACUACUACACCAAGGUGAGCUGGUGCAUUUUGUUCUUGCACCAGCACAUACCACCAGAACUCACAAAUUCAUUAGCAUCCAUAACUUCAACCAAUAACAAUAUAUGCACACAUCACUUCUAAAAACAAUAUCAACCUCAUAAAAACAUCACACCAACAACAAAAAAUUAUACAACAUAAUUGUCUUGCCAGCAUUACUAACCGAAACCAACACAAGAGAAAAUAACAAAAAUAGCUUUUACCAUUGACAUUGAUUGAUUCUUUACAAAAGAAAAAAAAAUUUCUAACUUCACUCCCCAAUCACUGAAGGUUCAGGACCCUCUUUAAAAAAAUGGCAAUAUGCACCAUCCUUAAAAAACAAUGACAGCAACUACCAUUAAUAAAUAUACAAUAUCCAACACCCUCCUAAAAAAAGAAAACAUAAAAAGAGACCAUGUCCAGCACCACAUAAAAGAGAUCAUGUCCAUCACCCUCCCAUUAGUCAAUAUGCACAACACCCCCACCUUCUUUUCCUUUUGAAGUUUUGAAUUGAUUCAUAAUUCGAGCACUCUUUCGAACUGGAUGUGUAGGUUCUUUAACUGGCCUUUCUAUCACCUCAUUUUCUUUGUUCUUGACAACGCAUAUUUUUGUUUUAGCACGUAUCGUGUGUUGGUCCAUAUGAUCACUAUUGCUCUCAUGAUCAGUUAGUUGAGAUGAAACUUGUGCUGUAUUCUUUUUGGAUAGUUGUUUUGGAGCUAUACCUGCUGUCUUCUUCUUUGGAGCACUUUUCUUUGGUUGCACUUUGAUUCUUGAGUUGGCCCACCUUGAGAAAUAAAUACCUUCGAAGUUCUCCCAAGCUACAAGAACAUAGCUAUAUUGUCAACCAAAUAAAUUGAAGUACAAAAAAUUAAAUGCAUGAGACUUACAAAUCUUAUAUUCAAAAUAGUCAUUAUAGUAAGUUCAUUUGUGUAAAUCCUAUAACCAUAUUGUCUUAAUCUUUUUCCAAGAGCCCCUCUUGUUCGUUGUGGUGCAUCAUUUUCAACAGUAACAAAUGAGGGAGCAACCUGUGCAACUUGUGUAGUUGCUCAUCUUCUCACCUGAGAAACACAUAACAAAUUUAAAUUUUUGCCCAUAAAAAACAAACGCAACAAUGUACAACUUACAGGAUAUUUUUUCUCGUUUGCUCAAUAAUGGAUUCAGUUGUUGUUGUUGAUGUCCUGCCUGUUCCAAUCCCUAUCCCUGCACUUGGGCCUACAAGAGGGCCUUUCUUUGGCCCUUUAAUAGGCUUUACAACAAUAAACUAUAUCAGGAUUAUGACCAACUAAAAUAAAUAAUUAGACAUCUACUCACUUUCAUGAUGAAAAUAAAUGAAGAAAACUUCUCAAAUUAAUUAUAAGUGCAUGACAGAGGAAAAUGACAAGAGAAGCCAAUACACAUGAUCAACUAUCAAACUUUAUCGAAUAUGAACUAAAAAUUUACUGAGGCAAAGAGGAUAUUUACCUUACAGUAGGACUUUCUAUCUGCCCUUUGGUAGGCAUUACAAUAGGGCCUUCUAUCCUCCUUUCAGUAGGCUCAAUAAGAAGCUCUUCAGUAGGUCAUGUUCCUGGCACUAAAUCAGCCAUUAGAUCUUACUAUUGAUGUUGAUUUUUUAGCUUACAACCUUUCUUGUUAUGCCCUUCCUAGUGGCAAUAGAAACAUUUCAUCUUUACCCCAGUCCUACUCAUUCUCUUACUUGAUGCAUCUUCCUACAGCAUUCUUCAUCUCCUUUUUGGCUUUCCUAUUUGAUUCUUCAGUGGCAAAGAUAGAAGGCUUUUAUGAUUUGUUGGCUCCCGAAAUUUGCUACUUCUGAUAGGCUACAUCAUAAAUUGGUACGAAGCAAGGUAUGAGCUUUUUUGUACGAAUCAUCUAGGUAAUCAUAUGGGUUUUCUUGCUUCAUCUGAAUAACACAAAUGGCAUGAGCACAGGGAAUUCUAUUUAGUUGCCAAGCUUGGCAUGAACACUUUCUUUUAUCUAGUUUGACAACAUGUUUAUCAUGAUUUUAAAUGAGGGAAAAGUGUUAAAAAAAAGUUUUAAACCUUUUUUUGUGCUAAUUUAGUCAUAAACAUUUUUACUUAGUGCUAAUUCAGUCAUUUCCGGCCAAUUUUGGCCAGAUUUUGCUGACUGGUCGGCUGACGUGAUUUGAUUGUGCUGACGUGAACAAUUUUGAAUAAUAUUUUAAUAUUUAUGAAUUUUUUUCUUUUUUCCCUCCCCUCCUUUGACUGGCGAGGUCGACCUCGCUAAACCUCGCCAGCCACAUCGCUAGUGGCCGUGAGGGCGGCCUCGUGCUGGGUGGUGAGGCUUGCCCUCACUGGCCACCUCGCCAGUGGCCGCGAGGGCCCAGCGAGGCUCGACCUCACCAGUGGCGCCCAGGCCGCGAGGGUGACCUAGCACUAGGCUGGCGAGGCUCGAACUUGCCGAAUUGCGGCCUAGGCGGCACCGAAAAGGCUCAACCUCGCCGAAUUGCAACCUAGGCGGCACUAGCGAGGCUCACCCUCGCCGACCAUGGGCAAUGAUCAACCCUCACUAGAUCCAGCAAGGACGAGCCUUGCCGCCCAGCACGAGGCUACCCUCGCGGCCAUUAGUGAGGUGGCCGGUGAGGCUGCCCUCGUAGCCACUAGCGAGGUGGCUGGCAAGAUCCAGCAAGGUUAGCCUUGCCGGCUGAAGGAAGGGAGGGAAAAAAAUCAAAAUUAAAAAUAAAAAAAUCAAAAAUAUUAAAAUAAUAUUAAAAGUUGUUUACGUUAGCACCGAUCAGGCCACGUCAGUUGGCCGGCGUCCAAUCAACAAAUUUUGGCCAAAAUUGUCCGAAAAAUACUAAAUCGACAUUAAGUAAAAAGAUUUAGGACUAAAUUGACACAAAAAAAGGUUUAAAACUAAAUUGGCACAAAUACAAAAUGUUUAGGACAUUUUUAACACUUUUCCCUUUUAAAUGAUCUCAUAUCCAUUAUCUCAAUUCCAAACUGGAUGGCAUAACCUACUAGUAGCAACGUUUGCAUCCAAUCUCUUCACAAUCCUAGAACCACAGUCUCUAGUCCACUUCGUAGCAUCAUCUCUUUGCCUAUGCAGUCUAGUCAUGACUAUAACUCGAAUAUCAUCAAACGUGUUGAUGAUUGGUUUGCACCUGACCUCUAAAAUUAUGUCAUUGAAAGUUUUACUAAGGUUGUUAUUAAUGAUAUCACAUUUAAACUAUUCGUUGAAGAAAGCCCAACACAAGUGCUUAGCUUAUAUUUGGAACAAUGCAUCAAAACCUUCAUUUGUCAACUGCAACAAUCCAUGUUUGGCUAAUCUGAAAUAAGCCAUGUUGGUACUCUACGUUAUCUACUAGAAUUACUUUUCCAACCUAUCUCCUUUGAAGUUCUUUGACCAGUUUGUGUAUAUGUACCUUGUGCACAUUUUAUGCUCAGCAUGUGGCAUCGACUUAGCUAAUAUAGGAAUAAGUCUUUACAAAAAUUCAACCAAUAAAUACAAGUUAGGAAAAAUAUGCAAGUGAUGAUAUUAAAGGAAUGAAUUAAUUGACAAUAGUAUUACCUUAUGUUGGUCGCUCAUGAAUGUCAUCCUCCCUUAUCGGUUAUCUCAAUGUCAUCCAUUAAUUUUUUUAUGAACCAAAACCAAGUAUCCUUGUUCUCCAUCUUCACUACCGCCCAAGCUAUCGGAAACAUUUGAUUAUUGGCAUCUCUCCCCACAAUUGCCAACAACUCCCUCUUGCAUAAACCAUCUAGAAAGUAUCCAUCCAAUCAUAUAACUCUUAUAUAAUCAGCUAAGAAGCCCCGUUUGCAUGCAUAAAAACAGACAUAAAAUCUAUCAAUUCUAGGCCCAGGAUCAGGGAGUGACCUCUCCACAACCUCUACAUAUACCCUACUAGAUGGGUUUUGAAGCAUGCAUUUGUCAGCAUAAUCCCAUACCUGCGCAUAUUCUUCCUUAUAUCAACCCAUCAAUAUUUUCAUCACUCUCAGCUUAGUUUUCUUGCAUUGAUUCCUUGACACAUUAACCCUUAAUUGCUCCCUCACUAACAACUGAAACUAAGGACUCUUGAUCUCGGGCAUUGCUUUGAUAGUAUUGAAAAAAUGCUUCGAUAACCACACACUUGUUACCAUUUUAUUAUUAAAUAUAAUUUGACGAGUAUGCUUCUCCCGGAAUGACCUAAUUUGAAAUGACCUCUUCUUACUCGGCGCGCCAUAGAACUUCCAUGAACAAUUGGGUUGUGAGUACUUAGCUCUGACAAAUUCCUUCGUAUUUCUAACGAAUUCAAUGCUCCUUUAUUCAACAAUGGAGUUCUUGACAAUAGCUUACUUUAAUUGUUUAGCAUCAUCAAAUAUCAUGCCCACAGACUAAAUAAGUGUAUCAACAGUCGAAUUAUAGUAAAGGUACUUACUUUUUCUUCUAUGAGCAGAUUCUUCAUCAUCAUUGUCAAGCUCAUUCUCUGAACUAGCAAUUUCAUUGCCGUAGCUUUCUUCAUUUUCACUUCUAUUACCUUCAACUUGAGCUACAUCCCUAUUUACUAGCUCGGGCCUCUUUCCUACAGCUGCAAAAAAAAAAAAAAAUCUGAGAAAUUUCUUAUGCUUUUUUCUUGACUGUGCAAGUUCAUCAUAAUCUUCAUCACUUGAGAAACUUAUCGAAGCCAAAUAUUCAUCUUCCGAUUCACUGGAUAUAGCAACUUCCCAUUCUAAUCCAAUGAAGUCUUCAUCGCCCACAUCUUCACCCAAGAUUUCAAGAUAUCUCCUCGUUUGUUCAUCUCUAACAAUAUGACUUCUCUAUUUCUCAUUUUGCCCUUCAUCUAACCUAAACUCAUCCCCGACCUGAUUACUUGUGAUAUUCUGAAAAUUCAGUUAUGUUUUCAAUUGAAUGAAUCGGGCAUUUCAUCGACGCGCCUGUAGUACUAUUCUCUGAGCUAAUCACUCAUAAGAUAACUAAACUAUUUGGAGAAGCCAUUAAGGGAUUUUAAUGCAAUAGACUUGAGAAUUCGACUAUGAAUCGACUACUCAACCAUGCUAAUCUACAAGGGCCAUUACGGCACAGUCGAAAAUCUAUUAGAGACCAGAGAUAGGUCGAUUUGACUGAGAUAUGUGACCAGAGUGUGAAUGAUUUCACCAUAUUACAAAAUUCUCGUUGAUCGGCACUAGACUGAUUUUUCUAUCAUUUUGGUACCAUGUGUCCGUAAUCGAAAUCUCGAGAUUUUCACGACCACCGAGAGUCAUCAAUGUGUCAAAGAGGUACAUUGUUGCUCGAAGAAAAUCAACCAUGGGUCAAUUGCACUAAAAAUUCCUAAAAGCUACCCGGUAGGUUAGGUCACGCUAAAAUCGCGUCAGACUGAAAUUAACCGCGAAAUUGAACCUGAUUUCAAAAAUUGAAGGUUUUGUCAUGUCAUGAUUUAUUUUAGGGACGUCGACUCAUCCUUUGAUGAAUUUUUGGAGAGUACAGGAUUUAUGGAAAAUCAAUACAGACGUUUCGAAAAAGAACGGAAAUUCAGACGGGCCGAAUUGAAGGGAUUUUUGGCUUCCAAACCGAGCUAUUUGGUGAUGGAGACUUGUAGAAUUUGUGUGGGCUUUUUCUUCUAGAAAAUUGGCCAUCAAAUUGAGGAAUUGGGUGAAGAAAUUGAAGAUCAAAAUUGAUGAAAUUCGGAGCUUAAUGGGGGUGCAACUUUUGGGCAUCAAAAUUUGUUAUUUGUGGGUUAAUCUUCAAGAAAGUAAUUGUGGGGACAUAAAGGAUAAGCUUGGAGACUUUUGAGGUCAAAGAAUGAUAAAAAUGAGAUAUUUUUUCCUUGACUUUUGGCCCCCUCAUCCUCAGCUUCUCCAGCACGCUUCAACCAGUUCCCUCCUCCUUCGUGGCUUAUACUUAUCCAUUUUUUUAUUUGCUCCUUCGGCCGCUGUUUUCCCUUCAUUUCGUUCCAGCGAAUUCUUCCCCACAUCUUCCCUCUCACUGCCAACACAUACACACGCCUGCAUCUCCCUCCACUCCGUCAACCGCUACCCCCUCCACCAUCGUUUGUUCCCCCACGAGUCAACUUCCCCAAUAGAUUUCAUUUGUUGACUCCCCUCACGCCAGCGAAGCCGCGGUCUGCCCAUCUUCUCCACCGAAGACUCACGCUGCAGCUUUCGACAGCCCACCAUAUUUUGUUCCCUUAACCGAAGCAGUCCCUCAACCAUUUCUCUCUCUCUGCUGUUGCCAGCAUCCACGAUUCAACCCCCCACUCAGUCAACACUCCCUCGAAACCUCUUCUUGUUAACUCCAGCAGCCCUGUCCGAAGCAACUUCAUUUCAUUUGGCCGCCGAGUAAGCAAACCACUAACUUUCCUACGGCUGCGACAAUGUUGAAGUCCACCGAAGCUGCUGGCUGCUUCUGCCUUUGACUCUGCCGCACAACCCUCAAGCGUCCAUCACCCUUACAUGAAGCCGAGCCCAAUAGUUCGCAAAUUCCAGCCAACUUUGUAGCUGAUUUCGACCUUGGUUUGGCUCUCAUUGGUGUCACCGUUUUGGAGUUUCUCGGUCAUCGUUGCACCAUCGUCGCCGUGGACUCACCAACCUGCAAAUCCGGUGAGUUUACUCACUAAACUCUGCUUAUGGAGUUAAUUAUGCUUAGGGGGUGUUUAGAUUAUGCUAAGUAUAUUUAGGUGGUUAGAUUAGUUUAAUUAAAUAUUGAUUAGAUUAUGUGCAUGAUUAGAUUAGUGGAUGGAUUAAUUAGUCUAAUUAUGUGAUUAGAUUAGUGUAAUCACGAUUAGACUUUUAAUUAAUUAUUUUUAUUUAUUUAUUUAAAUCAAAUAUUAUUUGAUUAUAUUAUUUUAGCUUUAAUUUAAUUUAAUUUUCGAAAUUUAUUAAAUUAUUAAUUAAUUAAUAUUUUCAGAAAUUAUACCGAGAGAGCCAUUUGUUAGAAUUUCACAUUGAUCACAGUAGUAUGGUUAGUUUGUUCAAUUGAUUGUUAUGUUUGUGAAAUUGAGUGAUAAUUGUGAUAUAUAGGUACUUUAAUAAGAAAAUACCGGGUGUCGGGUAUGGACACUAAAAAUGGUUUUAAGUACCAUUUCAACUUAGGUGAGCAAUAUAGAUUUAUAAUAGUUUCGGGGAGUAUUAACACCAAUAUAGAUCUAUAGCAGCUUUAGUGAGCAAUAAUACAUUAGCAGCUUCGGUGAGCACUAUAAAUAUCAGCUUCGGCGAGUAUUACAGUUAUUUAGUAGCUUUGGUGAGUGAUAAUUGAUAUAGCAACUUCGGUGAGUAAUAUAGACAUCAGCUUUGGUGAGCAAUGAUAUAUGAAUAUAUAUAUAUAUAUAUAUAUAUAUAUAUAUAUAUAUAUUAGCUUCGGUGAGCUAGACCAUCAAAUUCAGCUUAGGUGAGCAGUGUUCGAAUCAAUAGAGUUUAUGGAUGGUAUCGAUGGUAUGAAGUCAAAUGAGUCGACUAAUUGAUGGUUGAAUUGGAUUGAAAUGAUUGGAUGAUUAUAUGAAUUGUACUGACUUGUAGGAAGACCCGAAGCAAAGGUAAGUCCUCUGACUUGUGCUUGUACUUAGGUAGCCCUUGGCUUGUAUUUGCUUCCUAAUCGGAGUUUAGGAGGUGAACUUGUUGAGAUAUUGUCUCACCCCGUCGUGGGCUCAACAUUUUCAGGUCCUUAGAUGGUGGUCAUGGAAGACGCAAAGCCCCGGAGUCUGGGGAGGUGGAGACUGAAGGAUCGGCCAACGUGUCUGACUAACUGGUCAUAGGACAGCUCCCUUUUUUUUGAGCCGGUCUUUUGUAGACGGCCUUGUAUUGUAUAUAAACUUGUGUGUUUAUAAAAAGGCUUGUUUUGAUUAUGAAUUGUUGCCUGCUUUUCUAUCCCAAGCUUUUUGUUGUCAGGGGAUAUUUGUUUGCUUCCGCAUGCGUAAUAAAAUGAAUGGGUCGGCGACGCAUCCUGAGACGUCGCAUAUUUAUCGACCACCGAAGGAUGGGCACGCACUUAAGGGUCGGGGCAUGACAUUACUCGCUUGAGUAGAAUCCCUCACUUCUCCUCUUUCGAUGGCGGUCUGCUCAUCCCUAUCCUCAUCCUCAUCAUCACUAUAAUACCUAACAUAUACCCUAACUUCGUCGCUGUGAUGAUAAUGGUAAAUGAUAUCCUUAAUACCAUUAUCGUCAUUAAAAAAUCUUAAGCCAUCCUUCAAUUCCUUCCUAGGAACACAAUAAUGUAUUUUUUGCACUUUGCAUUGUAAAAAAUACACCAAAUCUCUCAAAAAAUCAAUAUAUGAUAGCUUCCGAACAUUGACAUAUAUAAUACCUUCAUUUCCACCAGUAUAUUCCCAGUCCUCGGUGUCAAUAACAAACUCUUCACCAUAGCAAACAAUGACGGCUACCUGAUUCUCAUCCAUGUCAGUUCUGCAUCCAAGGAAGAAAAAAAAAUCAUUAGUUUUUAGGACCACAUGACAAAAUUAGUAACUUCACAUGCAGGUCCUUAUCGUUUUGUCGAAAGAAACAAAGGCAAUCGAUUUAUUCAAUUCGAUCCCUUUACAAUAACAAAGGAAGCCGAAUUGAAUAAACAAAGUGAGGUCUCCAUCACCCAUUUUUCAAUUCAAUCACAUUCGGUCCCCCAUAGAAGCAAUUCACCUAAUUAAAUAACGCAAGAUCCCACCACUAUUUCCCUCCGAGUUGAGCCCCCAUUUUCCCCUCCACACCCUAUUUUUCUAUUCAAUCCCCAUAAAAGAAAGCAAAUGACAAAACCCUAAAUUUUUCUAUUCGGUCCCUACAAAAGUGAGAUCCCCACCACUUUCUCCUUGAGUCGAGUCCUCAAUUUGCUCUCCAUGCUCUAACUUGCCUAUCGAAACCCUAAAAUUUUCACUCAAUUGACCCAUGUAAAGAACAUGACAAACCUGAGUGAGUGAGAGCUAGGGACACAGCUAGCGAACAACAAUGAACGAUAGCGUAACUACGGCGGUGGCCGAGUGACAGCGAGUGAGCAACGGGCCACCGCCAGUGAGUGAGCAACGGUGGGCGAGCGAACGACGGUGGGUGAGCAAGCUACAGCCAACGUCAAGCGGGAAUUGUAGUUCGUAUGCCGCCUAUACGAACCAUAUUUUACUCCCUCUUCAGCGAUGCCGUUUUGGCUAUAUAGCAAUGUGGCGUCGUUUUGUAAGUGAGUCCAUGUGGAAUGGCAUAAAACGACGUCAUUUCUUAUGAAGAAUGGAAAACAGAGGCGUUUAUGCCAUUCCACGUGGCCAGUCUUCUUCAUUUUUUGCCACGUCGAUUUUUUUUUUAAUAUAAAAGCUACAUAAUCAUUUUGGCUGGAAUCUAUCGCUGAUGGUACCAAAGUGAUCGUUUUUCCUCUGAUUUGACACUUAAGUGAUCCGUCGGAAACUUUUGGCACCAAAAUUAGCGUCGUACACAACUUUUGCACUUCUGGUGUAGUUACCCUGAUUGUUUUUCGCACAUAACUAUCGCCAUACACUUCUUCAUUCCUUUACUUCCAUGCUUUGCUAUGAUCUAGUCUAUUAUUUAAACCAAAGUGGUUCACUUGGGUCAAGAAAUUUGCCGUAAAAAAAAAUAGUUCGAAUCUGUUGAUACCAAAAGUUGAUUUGGUUAUUGAUACGUUUGUGCUUAGCACAAGAAUGAGAAAUAUGUGGCAUGAGCAGGGAUAAGUAGCAGUCACGUGCAUAAUGCAUGAGCGUUACCUUAUACAAUCAUCAACGAAUAUAGGAGCUAAGACAUGGCGAUCAAUGACUAUAAUCUUUAAUACCAUGUGUCCAGUUAUUGAAAUAUGAUAACGAACUAUUGGUGGUCGACUAUAUGAGCACUAGCAGCAAGUUUUCAUUGGAAGUAUUUCAAAUACUAUUCAAAUCACCAAGACCGUGGGCAUCGAGAAUGCACAUUGUGGAGGGAGCAAUUGCAAUUCAUAGACCCCAUCAUGGAACGAUCAUCAAUAACUACAAACCCAUCAACACACAAUGAGGACUAUUAUACAAAAGGUGGGCAAGUGAAGCUUGCGGGAAUGAAGGAGUAUGGGCGAGAGCAAUGGAAGUUACUUGGAGAAACACAAUCGCUAAUCAUAGUCAAGGAGCAAUUACUACACAUUUGCUAUAAAUACCACCAGCUAUCCAACAAGAAACCCUCUGCACGAAUCACACAAAAUGUUAUCUUCCAAUUAUCUAUACUUUCCUACACUGUAGUUUAAAUUUCCUUAGCUAUAGCUUAAUAUUCGCAUCGUCAAUUAGAUUCCGGUAUUUUUAUUUCGAUACUCAUUGUUGAUUGAAUUCUAGCAUUGUAUUGCAAUAUCCUCGAUUUAUGUCGUCAAUUGGAUUCUGGCAUAAUUCGAGAUUGAUCUUGUAACUUUUGUGCCUUGUCAUUGAUUAAAUUCCGACUCUAUAUGGGAUUGUAUAAUGUUGUUUGGAUUAAAAAAGUUCGAUUCCUCUUUGUAUAAGAUAUCUUGUGACCAGAGUUGGCUCAAAACCCUUGUCCCCUUUAAUAAAAAUCAAAGAAUGAUUUUCAAUGAAAAAUAGUUCAUCACAUUGUUCUAUUUUAUCAUUUUCGUGUAGGCUCAUGCGAAUCAAGUUUGAUUCAGGUGUCACCAUGAAAAAUGCUUGUCAUGACACAUUCUACACAUAUGAUUUUUCUUGAGAUUUUUACAUAUCAUUAGAUCAUAAAAAAUUAAUCACGUUCUGUGAUAAUCAUGUUGAAUUAGGGACUUAUCACAAGCCCAUUAAAACUCAUUUGUUUGGGCACCUUAAGGGCCAAAACAUGCCUCAUUGUCUUCUCGAUAUUUGAAGCAUGUGUUACAAGUUUUGUAUCAACUUGUGGCAUGUCAUGUUUGAAUCUCGUUUGAUAUGUGAAAACCAUGUAUCGAUUUAGCAAAUUGUAAUUGAAGUUUGCCAUGCAUAUCAUCCUUAGUUCAAAGUCACUUUGCAAUGUUAAUGACUUGUGUGACUUAUUUGCACUCCGACUUAGGGGUAAAUUUUCUACCCAAACCUUUCUCUCAUUCAACCUUAUGUCAUGUGUGAGUUUCACACUUUUUAUGCAUUGUGUAGGUGAUCUUAUAGACUAUUAAGCAUGCAUCAUGUUCUGAUUUGUGCAUGGCUGAUUUGCAUGUCUUCAUGAAUUUCUUUUUUUCGACUAUCAAUUUGACCUCAAUUGGACUCGAACCCUCUUAGGAAUUCUGAGGACUCGCCUUGAUAUUUUGAAUGCCGCUGAUUUUGUGUGAUUUGCCUAUCAUUUGGCCCAUUUUUCGUUUUUGUCAAGUUAGGCUAAAAAUCUGACUUAGGUGAAAUUCGGAACCUCUGUUUUACCCUUGUUGAGUCUGACUCUUUGUUAUUUUGUGUGAUUUUCUCGUUUAAGAUUUUUAGGUCAGACCCUUAACGAACUUUGUUCGUCACUCUUUUGUUUAUGUUGUAGUAAAGUUUCAUGUUUGUUAGACCUCGUUUAAUAGAUUGAAUAUCCAUUGAUAUGGCGUGAUGCUCUGUUGUCUUAUUGAUUUUCUGAUGUUAUGUGUUGUUGAAUUUUUAAAAAUUCUUACAUAACCUUUUAGAAAACUUUCUUCACAGAGUUUGUUCCCCGUGAUGUUAUGGAUAUCGUGUAAUUUUCUUAGAACAAAUUGUAAACGGGUUCCUUUUCAAUUGUGUUGAUUUUAUUUACCCUGUUAUGUGGUGUUUUGUUACAAUUCUUUGCUGUGUUUUCAUUCUAGAAUUUUCUAGGUUAACUUGCAUGUUGAGUUUGCUUCACAUUUAUUCACGAACUUUGUUCUUCACUUUUUGCACUUUAUACACAAAAACUCUCGACAAAUAAAAAGCACUUUAGUAUGUUUUUUCGACCUUUUUGAAUGUCAUGAACUUGUCUAAAUUUUCCUAUUUUUGUCAAUUUGAACCUAAUUUUAGUUGAAGUGAUAUUCAUGCACACUUUUUAUGUCAUCUUUGAAUUUCAAACUUUCAAACCAUGCUCUUGGUUUGGUAUUGAUGUUACCUAAAGUUUGGGACAUAUUUAAGGCAUCUGCGAAGUUGAUUAGAGUACACAGGAUGCACCCGAGUUAACCUUGACAAUUAAAUGUGUUCCAUAACUGUGAUACAUCUUUGCUAUACCGUUAGCAUACUUUCUCCCAAUUCACUAUCAAUUGUUCUUCAAAUAUUUUUUUAGCAUCGUUUGAACUCUUAUGACGUUGGACUUGUUUACCUUUCUUGAAUGCCCGUGAUUGUGAUUAGCGUGUGUCAACUAAAUAAGUGAUCAAGUGUUGGCUCACUAAAAUUGUCUGAUUGACUGAGGACCCAGGCUCAAGGUUUUGCUGCCAUGUUUAUUUCUCCCUAUGCAUGUGUUCUUUUAGAUGUAUGCAUAGGUACAAUGUAUGAUUCCAUUGGAUGACCUAGGGAUUCACUUAGAACAUGUUUUAGGGGUUUAUAAGCAUUGGUUGCCAUACGAGAACAAAAAUGGUGGCCAAUAGUUAUAAGCUAUUAAAAUGAAUUGGGAUAGGUGUCCAAAGGUAUCGACACAUGAAUUGCAAAGGCCAACCCCAAGGCCCAAUUUGUUCAUUUUGCACGUGGUUUCGAUUGUUUGAUUCUUCUUGAUUGUCUUAUGAAUGUUUUUGUCAUGAAUGAUUGUUUCUUUCCUAUUGUAUAUACCUAGUCAUAGUUUUAGGUUAGGAUUAGAAUAGGUCCUUGGAGAUGGAGAUACUUCAAGACUUGAAGACGAUGGAAGGUCGAUGUCCUAUCCAACCGAACUUUUUAUAUCAUUUGUCCCCGAUAUAUGUUUCGGGUUAUCUCGUGUUGUAUAAAUACCCGACGAAUUGCAAGUUUAUUUCUUCCAUUUAUUUUUGUUCAUUGCUUAGGUUGUAUGCUAGAUUUACUGCAUUCCCUAAAUUGCUUACUUGAUUGUUUACUUACUGCAUUAUCUUUAAAUUUCAAUUGUUUGCCUUCUUUUCUCUUUCAUAGAAAUAGAAUCGCAUAAAAGCAAUCAUCCACGCAUGAUCAUUUAGCUAGUGUAAUCAACCUGAAAAAGUAAAAAGAAAUGCAUAAACGCCUUAGGAAACAUGACAUACAAUUAAGUACCAAAAUUGUGCUAAUAGAAAUAUUAACAUAAGUCAAGUCUCUGAAUCUAUAAUCUCUAGUUGCAUAGAAAUCGAGGAACCAUUCCUAACCCUCGAUUAAGUUUUCUAGCCGACCCUAAAAAAGAAGACUAGUAGCGAAUCUUGUCUUUUUAGGUUGUUUUAAAUAACUAGAUAAUAAAUUAACUUGUUGUAAGAGGUAUAGGUCUUGCUAAGACCCACCAGAGUUUAGCAUACCCACCGUGGAAACCUCCUAAUGGAUGAAAUGAUGUCAUCCUUAAGAAAGAGAGUACUAUUGGGAGGAUUACUAUGGUAAAGGUACCUCUAAAUUCAAUAUCCACAUCCGAUCUCCUCUUUCAAGGUAUGUCGCCCGUGUGGGUACGAAUCAUGACACCUUAUGCUAUCACGCAAGAUAUGAGCUUGGGAGAGCUCACAACAAUGAACGAGGGAACUCAUAAGGGCUCGUCUCAAAAGACAAAGUGAUGACAUAUUUUGGAUUGCGAACUGUAAGAUAACUGUCAUGAACAAGUACUCCUAAACUUGACAUUUUCCCCUCCCCAUCAAGGGAGGGUCAAGAGAGGUUGGGUCGCAACACAGCCGUUCUUCUCUUCAUCUAAAGGACGUAACCUCAAACUAUAUCCAAAGAAAUCCAACUCCCAAAAGUCUCCAUCGAUAGCACUCCCUUACUAAGGGUUACUAAUCGAGGAACUUAAAAGGAUUAGGAAGAAAAGAGGUAAGCUACCACAGCUUAGUAAAUAGUACAUAGUUUCUAAGCAAAUUGAGCAACUACUGUGCAUGUAUACAAAGUGAUAUCGGAAACAUGUGAUCCAAAAUCAAGGUAUAAAAUACGUAUUAAAUCACAUGUGUAAUUUCAUUUUGACAAAUCUUUAAAUAAACCAAAAAUACUCAUUUAAAUCCACCAUCACAAUACAAAUAUCAAUUAUCAAGUUCAUUGAUCAAUCUCAAAUCACAUGUCGAUGGUUCAUUUCAUUAACCAAACUCAUAUCACAUCAAAUCUCGAGGCCUUAGAGGUGGCUUCCACAAGACCACGUUAUCAUGUAACAUUUAGCCCUUGAGUACUCAAGGCCUUAGAGGUGGCUCCCACGAGAUUCGCAUCAUUAUAUAGCACUUAUCCAUUGACCAACACUCAUCAAUAGUAAAAGGCUCUAGAGGUGGCUUCAUGAAAUUACGUUAUCAUGUAGCACUUAGUUCUUAACCAAGGUAUAUCGAUAGUAUAAGGCCUUAGAGGUUGUUCCCACAUAACUCAAGUCGCCAUGUAGUACUUAACUCUUGACUACAAGACCCUAGAGGUGGCUCACACAAAGUUAUGUUACUACGUAGCACUUAAAACCUUGACCAAUGUAUAUCAAUAGUACAAGACCCUAGAGGCCACUCCCAUGUGACUUGAGUCGCUCUUGACUAUAAGGCCCUAAAGGUGACUCCUACGAACCAACAUUAUCGUGUAGUACUUAAUUCUUUACCAGUUCAUAUCAAAUUGAUUACACAAACCAAAACAUAGUCUUUCACAAAUCAAUUAUUCCAUUAACCAAUCCAGAAUCCAUAUCAUAAAUCAGUUUCACAUAUCCAAUGAAGUCACCUUUCAUAAACCAUACUCAAAGUCGACGUAAUUAUUUCACAAACCCAAAAUAUAUCAUCUUUCCUAACUUUGUUGAUCAAACAAUAUAUAUAUUUCACAAAAUAUUUCUCACACCAUUUCGAAAUUCAUUUCAUAAAUUGAUAACAUUUUGAAAUGUCUUUCAUUAAACGAUUCCCAAAUCAUUUUAGAACCCAUUCUAUAAAUCAAUUAGUAACAUAAUAGAACCCAUUCUAUAAAUCAAUUAGUAACAUAAUACAAUAAAUAAACUUUCACAACACCUUCCAUAACAACUUUUUCAAACCAUUUUCAAAGAAUUGAAGAGCAAUAAAUGCCCAAUCCAUAUUUUAAUGCAGUGAAAAUGUUAUUUCUUAACUCAUAGAAUAUCAUUUUUGAACGUGAGGUCAAAUACUUAAAGAAAGGAUAACACUACUCACAUUGAACUGCCUAUGAUCAAACAACGAAGAUUACUUGAACCGUUAAACUCACAAUCUCAUCAAAUAAGCGAGAAACAACAUUAAAAUCAAAGAAAAUGCUAUCUUAACUAUAACUUGAAUAAACUAACGACUCAAAUGUACUCACAGAUCGCUCGUGCAAACCAAUUAAGCCAUUGGUCAUGCACUGUUCAUACGAGGCCAAUUUCAAAAUUUUGUUUUGAGUGAACUGUAAGUCUAAAUUGAUUUUUGUAAAAUCCUACAACUUUACAACAUCUUAAAUUAUCAUUUAUAUAUAUGCAGCUCAACGACUCCUUAGUCAAAACUCGAAACUCAAAAUUGACUUAACCUUAGAUAUGCACCAUAAUUUCGAAUAUUACUUUGAUUAGAUGAGCAAGGGCAUGAUCACUUACCAAGCGUUAUGAUAUGUAAUAAAAUUGACUAAGCGAGACACCCGUGGUAAGCACACGGAAAGCCCUCUCUUUUUUCCCAUCUCUUUCUUCUUUGUUUCUUUCCCUUUUCCUUUCUUUUCUCGGUCUUCUCCGUGUCUUACCCGAGGUCUGCCUUCUCUAUUUCUUUGACCAAGUCAAUUUUCUAUUUUUUUUUAUUGGGUCCACACGAGUUGACCAAGUUUUCCUUUCUUUUCUCGGUCUUCUCCGUGUCUUACCCGAGCUCCCCCUUCCCUCUUUAUAGACCAAGUCAACUCCCUUUUCUUUUUCUUUUUUUCUAACGGGGUCCCCACUUCACCACCGAUCUUUUUCCAUUUGUUUUUUUUCUUCCCCUUUUUCUAGUUCCCAAUUCCAAACUUUUGAAAUUAGUGAAAUCAGUCUGAUUCUCAAUUUUGAGUGAAGAACUGAUUGGGAAUCAAAUUGAACCAAAUUUGGAACCGGUUUCAUAGAGCCUAAAAAUUGAAUUUUUCUCUUAUUAUAUUUUUUUUAUAUUUCUCUCUUUUUUCUAUUUCCUCCAACCUCACCCAAACACUUCACGACUCUCUCUCUCUCGCCUACAACUCACACUCCUCCUCGCAACCCUCACUUGUUCCUAACUAGCAUUUGCUCACUCACCCUCAUUCAUAUUAUAUUUUGAAUCAUUUUCUUAUUCAUAUUAUUUUGGCUAUAAAAAAUGAAACUCAAUGAACAAAAAAAAAAGGUUCUUGGUAGACCUUGGAAUCAGACUAAAAAAUAGGACACGUUCUAGGGUCAAUUCUAGGACAAAUAGGGUAGGUUACAGGUUUCAAAAACUGAUAAUUAGUUCUACCAUAGCACGUUCUAAAUUCCAAGUUCUAGGUUUAGAAUAUAAUCACCCCUAAAAUUCGUUAUUGAUUGUACAUCAAAAUAUAAUAUAGUGUUAUAUAAUAAUUAUGGGCAAGAAAUGAGAAUUCGUUAAUAAAGUAAGUGCUAAAAUUACAUCAUCAGAUGCCUUUAUCAAAUAUCGCUUUGGUGCCGGGGGAUGUCAAUUGCAAUUUCGGGGAGGACAAAGUGUCCGCCAUCGAAUAGAGACGUCCAACUAGUAGCCAAUGACCAUUGUCGAAAAGCAGAAAUUUUAGCACUUUGAAAAAGACAACCACUGAAUAGAUAGUAUGUAUCACAAGACCACCAAUUUUCUCAAUGAUGUGAUAUCUCUAUGACUAAUCAAACAAUCCAAAUUGGAUUAGUCAAAUACGAAUAAUGUAACAAAAGGAGAUUCAUUUCAUGGGUCGGUGAUGUGCAAUUAAUGGAAUCACAAACUUUGAUGUAAACCUCAUGAAAUGAUUUACUAAAUUUGUAAAUUAGAUAAGACGUGAAACAAAAUGAUUAUAAUUAGCUCAAAUAUGGAAGAUUGGUUGCACAGUUUGUGAUGGCACAAUGAAAUCAAAAUUAAUUUGUGCACUUUAUUCACCCGCUAGCACACAUAUAAAUCAAACCUAGUUACUAAUCUACUCCCAUAGGUUAAGUGAGAGCACCUCAUCUCCAAUUCCACAACAUUUCAGAAGUUGGCUACGACAACGCUGCUCCAAUUUUCAUUGGAUAAUGACAAUGAAAAUUCUUACACUCGUGUCAGUCCGUCACAUUUACUUUUCAAAUUCUUUUUCUCGAUUUUUUAAAUAUUAAAAUCCGUCGUCAUCCUUCAAGUUAGUCAUUUCAUUAACUUCCCAACUUUUAGUUGAUGGAAAAGUCUAGGCUGGCAUUUUUUAUUAUUUAUUUCCUCUACAAGGGCAACAUUUUGUGUUCAUCCAUUUAUGUUUUAUAAAAUAUUUAUUAAAGAAAAUUGAAUUUUCUUUUUUGAGCUCGUAAGAUUUAAUGGAAAGGGGAACGGCAAUGUGCUGUGCCCUCUAUAGCCAACCUCCCUUGUUGGGGUUGAGGUAAGGGUGGUUGGCCCUCACUUGGCCAUAAGUGCAGGGUACGAUUCUCGCCACCACUAGGCAAGGGCUGCUGCGACCAUGAAGCAAGGGCCCUUGCCUGUGAAUCAAGAUAAACAUCAAGUGGUGCCUUUAUCAAAUAUGGUUCAUAUUAUUGUAACUCAAUGAACCAAAAAAAUGAAACUCAAUGAAACUAAAAAAAAAAAAAAGGUUCUUGGUAGACCUUGCAAUCAGACUAAAAGAUAUGACACGUUCUAAGGUUAGUUCUAGGACAAAUAGGGUAGGUUACAAGUUUCAAAAACUGAUAAUUAGUUUUACCAUAGCACGUUCUAAAUUUCAUGUUGUAGGUUUAGAAUAGGAUCACCCCUAAAAUUCGUUAUUGAUUGUACAUCAGAAUAUAAUAUAGUGCAAUACAAUAAUUAUGGGCAAGAAAUGAGAGUUCGUUCAUAAAGUAAGUGCUAAAAUUACAACAUCAGAUGCCUAAAAGAUUUAUUUACGAUUGAGAUUAGAUAGAUGCUCUUGAGGGUGUCCUUCAGAGAAAUGCAUAAGGACGGUGAUUUGAACCUAGGAGCAUGUACGGAUCGCUUGGUGAUUUGUUUUAUAUGCCAGUUCACUUUAUAAGUAAAGCCAACGACUUCUGGAAAAAAAUAUCUCAGUACAGGCCAAGCCUCAACCUGUUCCUUGAACACCAUGAGAAACUCGUCAUUUCUCCUUGCGCUUGUUCUCUCAAUCCUUCACUUGUCUUCUCAACCUUCCUCUGCCACUCGCACUACUUUGAGCAGAGGCGACUCUCUCUCCGUUGAUAACCCGGAUGACAUCCUCAUCUCAAAGUCUGGUGUCUUCUCCGCCGGUUUUUACCCCGUCGGCAAGAACGCUUACUGCUUUGCCAUCUGGUUCAGCGAUCCACCAUGCAGCGGCCAGAAUUGCACCGUAGUUUGGAUGGCAAACCGCAAUGAACCUGUCAACGGGAGGUACUCUAAGCUUUCUAUUAAAAAGAACGGUGAUCUCAUGCUAACUGAUGCCAGACACGCUGUUGUUUGGGCCAUAGAUACAGCCUCGCUCUCGUGGUCGAAAACACCGGUUCAUCAGUUACAACUCCUAGACUCUGGUAAUCUUGUUCUUCGUGACAGAGAAGGUAAUGUCCCACUCUGGCAAAGCUUCAACUGCCCGACCAACGUGCUCCUCCCUGGACAGAACCUCACCAGGAACACACCACUUGUUUCCUCUCAGAGCAACGGCAACUUCUCCUCUGGCUAUUACAAGUUAUACUUCGACAACGACAACAUCCUUCGUCUCCUCUUCGAUGGACCUUUGAUCUCAAGCGUAUACUGGCCAGCCCCGACCCAUGUGAGUUGGGAAGUUGGAAGAACAACCUACAACGAUAGUAGAGUUGCAGUGCUCGAUUCCCUGGGGAAUUUCACUUCAUCUGACAAUCUGAAGUUCCUGACGUUGGAUUUUGGCAAGAAAACACAACGUAUGUUAAAGGUGGAUCAUGAUGGUAAUGUAAGGGUCUAUAGUAGAGAAAAAGAUGGGAAGUGGGUUGUAACAUGGCAAGGCUUACCUGAGUCAUGUACUGUUCAUGGGAUUUGUGGACCGAAUAGCGUUUGCAGGUACAGCCCGAGGGAGGGAAGGAGUUGUUCUUGCCUUCCCGGAUAUGUGUGGAAUAAUGACACUGAUUGGACUCAGGGAUGUGCG